UUGUGUUUGAGUGCAAGUAAUCCAAGAGACCCAAUAACAUUGAGUUUGAGCCCAAUGCCCGGCGGCCCGAGCUCAACAAAUUCCCCAGCUGCCAUACAAGCAUGAAAUCCUGCGUCAUCCAUCAAGUCAGUCCCGCAUCAAGGCCCCGCGAUCAUUUCCUUCUCGGCCAUCCGCCCAGCCAAUCAUCAACAUCCCAAAUAAAUCCACUCCGUCCGCAUCAUCAACGAGUCCUCCUAGCAAGCCACGGAUCACGCCAUCAUCACAGCCGUCCGUUUCAAAGAGUCCCUUUAGCCAUGAAGCCAAAGGUUCAAGCCCCUCCACGCGCCUCCUUCCUUCCGCAACAGCCCAGCUCCUUCCCAAAUCGAGCCAUCUGUACUACGCCCAGCUUCAUCCCGCGGUCCGUGCGAUCCCAGGAGACUCCAGCUCCUCCCAGCGAAUCCCAUUUGCAAGCCGAAAUCCCAGCAACGCCAGAAGAAGGAAAUAGGAAGCAAAUCCCAGCUCUUCCAUGAUCCCGUCGAUCCCGCUUCCAAUCCGGCACCCAAAGAAGGGAAGAUCAGCAAUCCAACGCGUCUCCUCCCUUCCGUUUUUCUUCCUCUUCCGCGUGCAAUCCCGACGAUCAUGCUCCCAGCAAUCCGUGCCUUCCUGCCUUGCAUCCACGGUCAACUCCUCACAGCAUCCCGUGAAGGAAAUCCACGGAUCUCACGCUCGUCUACCCUCUUCCUCCUCCCAAUGAUUCCGCGAGUGAGCCCAAGCAUCGAUCCAGCCGGCCGUGAUUCUCCAGCAAAUCGCAGCAUCACGUCCGCAAUCGCCCGUUGAUCCCGUGAUCGGCUCCUCCCAGCAGCCCCUCAUGCCAUUUCUUCCACUCGUCUGCGUUCAUCACAAAAGACCGCAUCCUCCCAGCAGUCCGUGAUCAACGUUCCCCGAGAUCCCAAGCGCCCAUUUUCCAUGUGGCUGAUCUCUAGUGGGGACCUAUAAAAGGGANNNNNNNNNNNNNNNNNNNNGGGAGGGGGGGAGGAGGAGCUCGGUUGGGGUGGAGGCCAAGAGAGGAGAGCUUGGAGAGGUGGGUGGCCGGCGGGUCCACAGAAAAGAGAAGAACAGGGGAGCGGGCUCGGUUUGGGAGAGAAAAAAAAAAAAUCAAACAGAGCAUGGCUCUGUUUUGUGAAAAGAAAGAAUAAAAAAUUAGGGAAGGAAGGGGAGUUUUCUUAUUUUUCUUUGGUUUUUAUGUUUUAUUUUGUAGAAGGAGGAAGUACUAGACUUCCAAACUUCAUUUUAUUUCUUUUGUAAUUAUCCUUUUUAUGCAAUCAGUACAUUUAUUUUUCAUGCAAUCCUUGUUCUAGGUUCAAGUUAAUUUUUUUUAAUGCAAUCUUUUAAUUCUUCUUUGAUGCAAUACAUUAAAUUUUCUUUGAUGCAAUUUAUGUUCUAGGCUUUUGAUCUUCUUAGCACUUGUCUUCAUCCAUUUUAAUUUAUGCAAAAAUUUUCUUUUAAAUGGUUAAACAUUUCAUGAAUUCAUAAAUACUCUUUGAUUUCUAAGUACUUGUCUUUUUAUUAUUUUUAAAUAAAAAAAUUAUUCUCCGGUAGACUAGAGAAUCCAUCAACAUCCUCAAAAUAAUAUUUUUCUUUUAUCAUUCAAAAAUCGAUUUCAAAUCCGAGUGAACGUUCUAAUUUUUAUGCAACUCCAAUCGCCUCCCUGUGGAUCGACCUCUUACAACCACUAUUCUUCGAGUAGGAAAGGUAAGAGUAGAAAAUUNNNNNNNNNNNNNNNNNNNNNNNNNNNNNNNNNNNNNNNNNNNNNNNNNNNNNNNNNNNNNNNNNNGUUAGACAGGAAAGGACGAACAGGUAGGCUAGAUCUAAUCUAACAGAGCAAGAAUAAAAGGAUUGAGGGCUUACCUAGCUGAGGAAGAGAUGGGGAGCUUCUUUCGGUAGCUUGUGCCGCUUCCUCCAGCGGCUCAGCGGUGGAUCCAAGGAAAAGCAUGAAGAAAAGAGGCAUUAAGGAGGGAAAGAUGCCUCAAUGAAGAACUCCUUCGGCUUUUAUAACCUGCUUCGGGGAAGAGGAGAGGAAGAUCGACCGUAUCCGCAGCUGGUAGGCGGUUAUAACCGCCUCGCAGGCUAUUCCAGAUGGGCCGCAGACUAUGAUCUCAGUCGGCCCAUCUGGCCCGGUAUUUACAAUUAUGGUCUAAAAAUAAAAAAGUAGAAAAGAUAAAAAAGAAAAAUAGAGAACGGUAUAAUAGGGAGAAGCCAACAACUUUUAUGGCAAAUCAUUGUUAAAUAAUUUUGUAGUAAAUUUCUUCCCUCCUUUUUUUUGUGGAUGAACUCCAAUGUUUUCUGAUGUUAUUACCCAUCUAUAGGUUACCAUUAAGGCUGCUAAUGGGUCGGGUUGACCCCUGAUCCGACCUGCGUAGAUUCGACUCGAUUCGAAUUUUAGGACCUGCAGGUCUGGGUCAUGUCCUAAAAUUGGACCCAAAUCAUUUUUUGGGUCAGAUCUGGAUUUACCGAAAGGAUCUGAUCCGACCCGAAUGGACCCGAAGAGAGAGAGGAGUAAAAGCCCUAAGGGGAGUAGGUUCAAGCGUGGAAGGAUAGCAACAAGCAUAGGUUCACAGAAUCCAAAGGAACCUCGGCCCGUCGGGAUUCUCUCUUGAUCUAUUACACUGUUGAUACCUCUGGUGUCGCGGUAGCGGGUCUUUUUUUUUUCCUUCUGUUUUUUGGUUUUUGUUUUUUUAACUUUUGAAGAGAGAAAGUGAGGGAACACUGAACUGAAUAUGGAUCAUGUGCUAGUUUUCUGCAAUGGAAUUGGAUUUUGGAAGAAGGUCUGGGAUUUUUUUUGUCCUCGUGAGAGGGGAGCUGGGAGACACCAAGUUCCGUCCAACCAGUCAUAUAGAUAAAAAAUAGUGUGAUAUGAAAUUUGGCUUGUAGACCGACUUAGUUAGUAAGUCAGGGUCAUCUGUUCUAACUGGAGGUCAAUUGCAAGUCAUUCAAGUCAUGGGUCACCCAGCACCUCAUAAUUAUGAUAUGACCAAAUUAGAUUUGCCCAAAUUUUUUCCCAAAAGCGCAAAGAAAAUGGACCCAAUUCGAACCGAACCCGAUCCGAACCCGACUCGGACCCGACUUGAACUUCAACCGGAUCAGAUCUGGGUCCAAAAUUAGGAUCCGAACAAAAAAUUGGAUCGGAUCGGGAUCACUCAGGAUCUGACCCGACCCGACCUAUUUGCACCCUUAGUUACCAUAUCAUUGUAUUUUUUUUAAUAUUUUAUCAUUGUUUUUAAGCGUUGGUAUGUCCUCUUAUACUUCUGGACGGGGGUUAUGUCUUUGGAAAAAAAAAGGGUUCAUCUUUCUUCGUGUGAAUCUACUAUUAGAUUAGGCAAUAACUAUUUCAAGAUCGAUGUAGAUGAAUGAAGGAAAAGAUUGGAGUACUUUGAGAGCUGUGCAAUGCGUGGUCCAAUGGACAAUGCUAGGAAAGAAAAACAAACAUUCUUUUAUGGGAAAGAUACAAUCCGGCAUCUCUGCUAUUUUGAACAACCAAUUAUAGAAUUUUGAUUCAGUACCUCAAAAAUUUUACCCAGCACUCGAUAUAUUCUGAGAGGGGUAUUUUAUGAAAAAAAGGAACCGAUAAAGAAGUGCAAGAAUCAGGCAUUGCAAGUAUUGAUGGCCCAGAAGAAGCAGUACUGUAGCAUGCCGAAGUACUCUGGAAAAAAAAAAGAAGCUCUUUUUUGAACUAAACUCUAGAUUUAAAUAAAAUUGCAAGGACGCCGUUCAACUCGGGUUGUUUACAAGACAAACAAGUAAUCAAGGACAAAGCUGAAUUUAAUUUGAACGGUUAGAUUAUAUUCUUUUAUUAUUUCAUUAUUUUUUUAUUGGAUAAAUCUUUUUGGGUAUCCAAUCAGCCCUCUCAACUUUAAUGUCUUCCUUCCAGGCUUUUGCUGCCGCUUGCUGAUCGCUUUCUUGAUCAAGAAUGCCGAGAAAAUGCGAACCCGGCAAGGGCAUAAAACUAUGGAAAGUAGCUGCUGAGCUUUGAAACCUGUUACCAUUUGAGGUGGAGACGACCGAGGGUCUUCUCUACUCGUCGAGACAGCAGGACCAAUCGUAUUAAUAAUUGGUCGAGAAGGUAUUAUAUAAAUUUCUUUACUUUGUGUAGGUAUCCAAGAUGUAUUAUUUGGAUUCUUUUGUUCCGUAUGGAUAUCCAAGUUCUAGCCAAUGCAUAGCCGAUAUGGGGUCCUGAUCUAUUCAAAUAUAAUCAUAAGCAUUUUGAUUGACUUAUGGUCAGCCCUAAUAGACCCAUGCUUCAGCAUCCCUUAGUCCAUAUAGACCAUAGGCUGAAUCCGCUCUGAUAUUAUUUGCGACAAUUUAGAAUUUUAUCUAGGAAUGCUAGAUAAAAGGUAUCAUUUAGUUUCUUUGGCUCUGUACAAGUACUUAACUGUUGUGGGACUAACUACACAUAUGAAAUAAAACAUAUAAUCCAAAAUUCAAACCAGUGUCCCUUAUCUAGAUUGCAAGCUCUCAACAACUAAACCACAACUUGUAAUAUUAUACUUUACGAGGUAAUUUCUUAUAUAAAUUUUCUAUUAUACGCUUCAUGCUAUUGUAGGCAAUAUCCUAUAGUAUGGCAAGAAACAAAUGUACGAGGAUAGCUGAUAUCAAACACUCAGUAAACGACGUCGCAAGAUUUGAUCCAAGAGUGAAGAUGGGAGCCCAAUUUGCAUGCAUGUGCUAGCUAAUCACACUCAUGCUCUAACCAUUGCUUGUGUUCAUCUGCAAAUUCAUAGACAUAUUGGGGAAUGUUGUACGCUAGCUGGUAAGCCUUUGUGAACUUCUCUAUAAUUUCUUCUUUUUUUUCCUUCAAAAACAGUUUGAGUUCCAUUCACAUAGCGGUGGCAAUCGGAUUGGACUGGAUAGGAUACGGAUUAGGUUUGAUACAAGAUAGAUCAAAAAUCUGUUAACUCGAACUUGACUUGUUUAGCAAACGGAUCCACAAUCUACAUCUAAACCUUACCAUUUUAUUAAAUAGAUAAAGUAAGCCGAUCUAUAAUGGUUUGAAUCAAAGAUAAACAGACUAAAUAGUUAAGCAUUGUCAUCCUUAUAUUCAUGCACUAAUUCCUGUGGGUAUUUAUUUAUAUGUUUGCCUCCUUGGUACCUUUCAUGGUUCAUUGACUGUCAUGAAGUUUUAAACAUGUCACAGCUAGCAUAUCAAGUAUCAUUUGUACAACUUAAAAAGGAUUUUUAAAGGCAGCAGCAUAGCUAGUACAAGUUUUCGGAGAAUGCUACAUGAGUGGUUCAAGGAAUCACCAGAGCCAUGAGAAGGCAACGAACCCUUCAAUGGAACUUGAGGCUGGUCAAGAGGUUGUUGUUCACUGGGUCAGCCAAGUGAUCCAAGAGGUUCUGGAAGGGUCCAACACCAGUCACAAGGGCCUGAACAAAGUAGCCCACGAUGGCCAGCAUGGCCAGCCUUCCAUUCUUCACCUCCUUGAGCUUCAGAUCCUUCAUGGACUUCUCAUCCUUCCCCAAUCCCAGAGGGUUGAACAAAGGUCCCCCAGGGUAAGGAGGGUCCCCUGAGCCCCCCAGAUACUUCUCCAAGCCUAGGAAGUACUGCUUCCCCAAGCACCCUGGCCUAACCCAGUCCUGGAAUCUCCGGUGCUCGGCGAAGCCCAUGAGCGCCAACUCGAACACAAAGAGAGUGUAAGGAUCGGCCCAGUAGUUGUAGGUUCCGGCUGGUGGAAUGACGCCAGUCUUGAACCAAGGGAGAGCAGUCUCAGGUGGGAUCAGACCAAGCUUUCCAAGGAUCUCGGGUGCAAUUGCUCCUACUGCACCCAGCAUGGCAUACCUUCCAUUGAUGACCUCGCCGUAGGCUAGCCAUUUCGGCUCCAUGAAUCCUCCGGGGCCUUCCGGGUCCGAUAGGCCCAGUGGGUCGAAGCCAUAGUCACCUGGAAGGCUGCAAAGGUGGUUGUGGGAGACAUGAGAUUAGCUUCCGUAAGUUAUGGACUCAGUGCUUGCCAGAAGCUAAUUUUCAGUAGCUGGUUGGUAUGAAUCCUAGAUUACCUUCCAUCCAAGUAAGAGAGAGAUUGUUUUGAUGCAAACCAGAGCUGUCUGUCUGCUCCUUGCUGCACCAUAAAAUUCAUGUCAGCAAAGGAUAAGAAAUGGCAAUUGAAAGGAGAUAUGAAACUGAAUGAAGCCUGCAAGUGAUCAGUAGAAGCUCUUCUGCUUUCAGAUUGCUAUUCAUGGGCAUCAGAUCGAGCAUGCUGUGCUCGGUCCUGGUUAACCGACUACAUUGACUUCAUAGUUAUUUAUCAAUGAAAAAAAAUAUGAUAUUUUUAAUUCAAUUCUGAUGCAGUCCAAUCUAGUGCAAAAACUUUCCAUCUAUAGAACCAUUCAGAAGAAGUUGAUGAUACCAUGUACUCCAUGAGGAUGUAUUUGUGAUCCAGCAUUUUGGAUUGAAGUGUUUCAUGAAAUUAGUAUAUAUGGAAAAUUAAACUUGACAGUCCGAAGGAAGUACACUAGGGCAAUGGAUGAGUUGAAGUCCACUGACCUUAACAGGUGGUGUUGAACUUGCUCUAACAGCAAAUGAAGCCUUUCUUGGAGAGCCAGCAGACCUGGUGGCAGUAGAAUAUUGAAGGGGCUUUCCUCCAAGGAGUUGUCUUCCAGCUUCCACUGAAGAGAGAAGAGCUUGAGUUGCCAUUGCCAUUCCUCUUUCCCCUCCCUCUUUCUUCUAGUUUCCGAAUGGUUUGGGGAUGUUCGAUGUGUUUGUUGGAAGAGAAACCAGCUGGAGAGAGCAAAAUAGACUUGUCUGAAGUGGUGGCGUGGGGGCAUGGGAAUCUAAAUGGGGCAUCUGGUGAACUUUGGAAAGAUGAGGCUUGAUCAGGAUGCCCAAUAGAACUGUGACACGUGACAUGGUCACCAGAUAAGGUGAUCUUGUGGUUGUGGGCUCGAGUUGUGUGCGCCAAGUGGAAGGUUCUCACCCAUUUGCUGAGAUCCUGCUGCAGAGCCUUGGGGUGGACGAGGGGCUAAUAUUCUCUUGAAGAUUUGUGGAGCACAAGAAGGGGCCAGAAGAUUCGACAUCCAACUAUCAGAGUCAUUGUUCAUUUGCUUCUGAAAUAGAUAAAAAUGGUAGUGGCGAGCUCUACUAUAAAUACUUCUUGAACCCAAUUUCAAACCGUGCUAUGAAAUGGUGCAAAGAUUGGGUUCAUGUAUAAACAUAGCGAGAGUUUGCGACUUAAGGGAUUUCAAUUUUUCUCCAAAAAAAUUCUCCUAAAUUUUGCGAGGAUUGGUCAGACUAAAUAAAAAUAUGAGAUCUAUCUCGGGAUAACUCGCCACCCGUAAUGAAGGUAGUUUGACUUCCAGUGGGAGUACUGCUUCUCCUCCGAACACCAAUGAGUAUGGGGUCAUUUGCUACUCGGCUCCCCGGUCCUAGAACUAGAAAUAAAUAAACGUACUCCUCAAUUGACUCAAAACUCCAAUAGGAACUCAAGCUCAAAUUGAUGUAUUGUUCCAACUAGACCGAGGUAUGGCAUUAGAAGGACCUUGGCAACGUGCAAAAUGUCCAUCCCGAGAAUGAUUUGGAAGUCGUCCAGUUGAGCAGCCAUUAGAUUAGUCAUGCCUGACCAAGCAUCGACCUUAAUCAGCACUUCCUUAGCCAACCCGAUGAUAGACGAGUCCCUGUGUUUACAGCUUUCAGUACAGCUGUUAUAAGCUACAGCCGCUAGACAACUACAGAAUUUUGGGGGCGAUUAGCUAUAGAGCAGAUCGUUACCGAGAGUUUGCGACUUAAGGGAUUUCAAUUUUUCUCCAAAAAAAUUCUCCUAGAUUUUGCAAGGAUUGGUCAGACUAAAUAAAAAUAUGAGAUCUAUCUUGGGGUAACUAGAUAUUGUUAUAUUAUGGAUUAUGAUUGUCAACUUGUACAUAUAUAAUCUAGAUAUCGUAAUUAAAAUAUGGUGAUAAUGGUAAUGUAUUAUCAUCAAUAAUGGUUCAUUUAAUGGUUAGAUUGAUUCUGAAACAAAGGCACCGAUUCCCUUCCACUAAUUUUUCCAUUUACUUUAGCAGUUCUCAUAAUAUUUCUGAAGAGAUUAUUGAAUAAAACACCAGGAAAGAGAAUAAAAAGAAAUACUCAACAUUUUCAUUUACCAAUACAUUUUCUUUUUUUAUAAGAAGUGAUGAGCUACACAUCAGAGGCAGCCCUCUUCCAAAUGCUCCUAACUGAUGGAUACUUGCUAUAUAUACAAAAACUGAAGGGCACUUAAUUUCUUUGUAUGAUAUAUAUGCUGCUUGUACCAUGAAACGUUACAGUUUAUAUGCUCACAAUACAAAAGGAGAAACUUAACAUGAGCACAAUAUUUUGCAUCUAACAGGCCAUCAUGUGAGAGAGUUCAGACGAAGGCCAUCUGCCAUAUGGCCCUCAUGCUCAGCCCAAGCUAGAAUUGACCAGACUUCAAUUGUUCAAAAAAGCAGCUCAAACAAGGAAAUACCAAUCCGUAGAAUCUCACCUUAUCUACAUAUAUUGACAUGAACUUCAAGUACCAAAGAGACCUAGUAUCUGUUUACAGCAUAGAUAAUAAAGAAAUGGUCAUGAAUGCUCCUUGAGUUGCAUCUUUCAGGCAUCGUCCAAGACUAGUAUUCCAAUGGUAGUAAUGUUAAGAAUAGAAAAAAGGGGGGAAAAGAAAAACCAGCAGUCUCAUGAAACAAGGUUGACUGUCAUGACCAAAAAGUACAGGGUAUUGUAGUUAUAUCAGCUUGAAGCAAUCUGUGUAUGCUUCAAGUAAUCAAAUCAGUAUGGGAGAGUAACAAUGGUAACAUCUAUUAUAAAUCCCAUGGUUGUUAACCAUGGAAGAGUUCGAAAAAACAGUAAGAUAAUCUUUUCCUUUUUCUUCAAAAAAAAGAAGAAGAUGAUGAUGAGACUGAUCAAAUUCCAUGCGACCAACUCAGGAAAAUAAGCAUUUAAUCGCAUUUAAUCUCUUUAUAUCAUCGUCUGAUAGAUCUAAUCCAUACUAAAUGAAAGUUCUUCCACAUAGUAUUAAACUGCCCGAGUCUAUUCUCUGUUUCUGCCUAAACCUCUCAAAGAGGUGAUCUUCGCCAAUUUGAAGUUGUACAUAGUCAUCCAAGUCAAAUAAAUAUUCUUUUGGUCUGGUAACAAAGCAGCUACUAUGAAGGCUUCCUACUCCAGAUAUGCUGCUGCCUGCAAAGUCUCCAAGAACAACCGAGCAGCUGCUAUUAACUUCAGGACUCCAGCUACCAAGACUGCUUCUUAAAUAAUUAGUGUCAUCGCAUGCACCAUUUGCUUCCUGAAACCCCAAGACAUCAAGAUGUUGUUUAUUUGCAUACCAUACACAACAGGACUUAGGUCAAAUUAGUUCAAAAAUAGGUGGAAGACAACACUUUUUGUUAGGUAAGAUAUUUGCUAGCAAGACUGAAGCAGAAAAAACAACAUGAAACUGGAGAGAAACAAUAUGCAGGAUUCUGCAAGUACCACCAGAUCAAAACCAGAGGCAAGGAAAGGAUGACAAAGUACGGCAUGAUCCAAAGAUAUUAAAAUCACAAGACUCCGACCUGGAGUCACAUGAAGUAAGUUCCAAGUAUAACCAUCUAUAUGACAUUCGCUUGCCAAGAACCCGGAGCAAUCAAAUGCGCAGCAAGAUGGCAUAAGGUAAUGCUGGACCAUGUGAUCUGUGCUGCAUUUCCUUAUGCGAGUAAUUCUGAGAAUCCAUUUUGCACGCAUGCACACACGUAUCAUUUAAUUGUAAAAAUCUCAUGCAUAAAUAAGAGAGAAUAUCCAUACAACAAAAGAAGUGAAACACAUAGACACACAAAAACAAAUGCACACACAAGCACACUAAUCAUCUAAUUGUAAAAAUUUCAUGCAUAAAAAAGAGAGAAUAUCCAUAUGCAAAUGAAGUGAAAUGAAAAGCAGGAGCUUUGCCAACUCAACAAGCUGUCAUCCCCCUCCCAACCCCCAGGGCAAGGAAAAGGGACUUGAUCAUUAUUGUUGAUAUAUAUUGUUUAUAAUUUUGAAAAUAUAUGGGAAUAAAAAGAAAAUUGCACAAUUGGCAUGCAAUGUGCAACCAAACUCAUGAUAACAGUGCACAAAAAAGGCAGCAUUUUGCACUUAUAGUGCCAUUAAUUUUUGCAGAUUAAAAGCCACGAAUUUGCUGAAUAUUGUGAACUUGCAGAACAAAGGUCUUUGAACCGUUUGAACUGAACAGAUGAACCUAUAAUUCUGGGAAAGUAGGAGUUCUCCUGAUGAUGUGUAGAGUAAGUGAGAAACUGCUGUAGACUUAUUUGCUAAAAAGAUGUUAAGUGAAAUGAGCAGGAAAUGAAGAAAAAGAAAAAGCUACAACAUACUAAAUUUGGAAAGAAAUUAGAUGUUCAUGGUGCUUAGUACAUCAGGCAUUUGUUGCACUUUGUCCAAUUUCUAUGAUAUCACUUCCAUCAUCACAAGAAGAGUUUUCUAAAAGAAAAAGGGGAAUAAUAAAAGAUGAUUAUCCAAGCAGAUCCAUUAGCUUGCAACAUCACUUUCAAAAUUACAUAGUGAAUAGACAAAUGCUUGUAGGGAAUGCGCAUAUUGAUAGUUACCUUUAGUUCAGGAGACAGCUUAUUUCCUGGAACCACUGAGAAGAUCUUGCCUUGGCUUGAUGUUGGUGAACCAUCAUUACUAGUUUCCCAAUGCAGCCAAGGAAGUACAACCCCGUCUGUUUCAACAGGCACGGAAGCAUCUCCUGUCAAAAUUUCAUGAGUUUCUGCUAGAGUAUUAUGCAUAAUGAAAUCUCUGAUCUUUGCGCUCCCUCCAAUAGUAGAACUUGUUUCGCUUCUUUCUCCAUCAUAGGAUGAAAUAUCUGUGUCUUCAACGUUUAAUAGAAAAUCCUCGAUAUAUCUCCCUGCCUCUUCAGUCAAAUAUUUGGAUGUCCUAGUUCUGUCAUUGCUCAGCUGGAACAUGAAUCCAUGAAAGGAGGAAAAAGAAUGAAAACCUGAAAUAAUAUCAGCACACUAAAAGGAAGCAUGACAGCAAGCUUACUCUUCUGGACCAUGAUGGACUCUUCAGUACAGAUGUUUGUUUUGAAACAGGAAGUAACUCUCUAACAGCGCUAGUGAGCUCCUGAUCACAUUGCUCCUUAACUGAUAAUUCAGCCAACAAGUCCAAGGUACGUUUCUCUGACUGAAAAGCAAAAACAAGGUGAAUAUUUAUUUGCCUCAAGUAUAAUGUAAUAAAGUAAUUGCCAUAAAAAUAAGGAGGUUCACAAGAAAUGGCUACAUCCAAAAGGUAUAUCUCAACAAACCGUUAACAUUACAAACACGUGAAAGAAAUAAUUAUUCACAGAUAAACAAAAAGAUCCGAAUUACAGAUAAUUAUUGAUGCGAGAAGCUGAAUGUCAACCUGCACGACUAAAUGAAAUAUUAUUUUCUCAAGCAUGGUAAGCAAUGAAAGCAUGCAACAAGUAAUGGAAAAGCCAAAAAAGAAAAAGAUUUUAUGAAACAGAAAGGCAGUGCAGAUACGAAACAAAGUCUUAUCCUGGAAUGCCCAGUAUACAUGUAGCUUCAUUGCACUCAAUUUGUCCCAUGAAUUUCUUGUAUAUUUCCCAAAACAUUCCCCAUUUAUUCCCAUGCUGGGGGAAAUUGAAUCUCGUUAACUUUCCAAAUUCUUGGGAAUGUGAUGGCAGAGUGGACAGUGGUCUAGGUGACUAAUGAAACCAUCGAACAGAACCAAAUCAUGAAUCAAAAUAUCAACUAUAAAGCCAAUGAAACUAUUUAAUUCUCAAAAGAAGCAUCCUGAAGGAUUUAGUUAGUUCAUCCAUACCUGCUCCAGUUUGGUUGGGUAAUUUCUUCUGAUCUCAGCAAUAGCUUGAGAAUCAUUUGAGCCAUUUGACAGAUUAUAUUCACCAUUAAACAUGGUUGAGGGCUCUGUUUUCGCUAUCAUCUGCAAACAUAUCAUGUAAAUUGGUAUUAAAUGUAAACAUCUAAAUUUAGCACUUGAGGCACUGGCGAAAACAGCAAAGAUUAUAGAAAUAAUGAGAUGAAUAUAUAAACUAAGAUAUUAUUCCAAAAAAACCCUAAAUUCACCUUUUCAACCUCCAUUCUGAUUUCAUCAACUGCAUGCCUUACUUCUUUACGCAUGAUUUCAUACAAUCUAGUCUCCUUACCAUCCUCAAUAAGGUGUUCUUUCUGAGAGAAGUGAAAUAUAAAGUCACAAUGAAUAGCUUCCUCAAGUGAUAGAACUCUUAACCCCUCUCAAAGUAUUCACAAACACAUAUUUGAGAUAAUCACUCUAAACUAUCUUCCUGGAGCUGUAACAAACCUUUCUCUGGGCAUAAACUGCUUCUAUGGUCUUCUCAGUUGCACUUCUACGUCUAUGACUAUUCCGUGCUUCAUCAUCAGUUAGUGCAGAUGAAUGGCCCUGUAAAAAAGGACAUGUCUUUUCAUGUUUGUUUAGAGGUUCAAGAUGAAUGCACCAAGCCAAAAAAACUAAAUUGUAGUAUGAUAGUAAAAUAUGAGAGCAUUAAGCGGCCAACAUUCUCAACAAAAGCUUCCUUCGGUUUUCUUUUUUUUUUUAGGUUGAAAAGCCUCACUUUGGAAUUAUGUAUGAAAUCAUACCUUUUCUAGAUCUAACAUAUGCACCAUCUCCAAAGAGAAGAACAAGAAUGUGAUUAAAAGAGACUAGAUGCGACUAAUAAAAUGAACAAGCCUUUUCACUACAAAUCUUAUAUCUGUCCCCUUACAACAGAAAGCGUAUGACUGCUUCUACAGUUUUUAUAACAUCAUCAGCAUUCCAAAAGAUGCAUUUUAUGAAAGUGCGUAUAGAAUGAUAUGCCUCUUUGCAGAAUGAAAGCUCAGAAUGCAGAUCUCUAAAAGUGAAGAUGGUCUUAAUAAGAAUGACUUCCUAGCAGAAGCCAUUCAAGCAAACACAUUAAACCAAGGACUCAAGUCCCAGUGGAACAUUCCAUGAGACACCGGGAUGGGGUACCAUCCCAAGUGUCGGGAUAGAACUAUCCCACCAUUGUUGUAGCGGCCCGAUCGGCACGUUUUGGGCCAUCCCCUAUCCCAAGUGUUGGGAUGGGGUGAGGCAGUAAGUAGCACAUCCCGUUCCAUGGGAAAACCACGGCGGCCCCAUUGAACAAGAUUUAAAACCUUGCUUUGAACUUCUACUGCUUAUUUAUGUUUAUCCAUAAUAAGGCCUUAACCUUUUUAACGAAUAUAACUACAUUCUGUUUUGUUAAGUAAUAUCACACCUGAUCAAUCAAACAAACAAAGGUUUGAUGUUCACCAUGAGCAAACUAAACUGCCACCCCUGAUGCAUUUUUGUUUCUAUACUUCUCAAGUAGUGCUUUCCUUUUUGAUGUGGCUGUAUGUGGUCAAAAAGUCUCUGCAUUCAAUUAUUUCAUUUCUAGCUUACCUUGAGGAUAUGUUAGACCCUCGUAAGCUUUGGUUUUUCCUGCAGGUUUUACUGUCAUACAACUUGCCUUUCAUAGAUGAGGACACUAGUCAAUAGGCGUUAAGCAUAAAACCAGGUAACAUGUAGAGAUAGUUUCCAAACCCAUCCAUUGGGGUAAGCCAAGAAUAAUCUUGGUGUAACCUCAAGGGAGGGUUGAGAUCAUGUAAGAGUCAAUCAUGAGCUUUGUUCAAUCCUGUUAUGUAUGACCAGCUAGGAGUUUUAUUCCUUAGCCACCGCCCUGCCUCCCCCAACCCUCCCCACCCCACUUUAAUUGCAGGAGGGCCGACUGUUAUUGUUGUUCUUCUGCUUUCCUUUUUCAAUAAUUACUUAUCAUGAUGGGAAGUUUUGAUUGCAAGGUGUUUUACAUCAUAUCAUCUUCAAAAACAAAGAUAUUAAGAAUCAAAAGCCAUAUUUAAUAACCCAGGACCUCAUCUAUAAAGGCUAGCUAGAAGGUGCUAUUUGGAUUUCUUGCCCUGUAUAAAUAUCCAAAAUCUACUUAGUGCAUAGCUGAUGUGGGACUAAACAUAUACUUGCACGCACAUAUAACCUUUAAGGGUUGAAUUAAUUCACUAUCAAGCAGUUCAGAGAAGGGAAAAAUAAUGUUAUGGGUCCAUCAAACAAGGAUCCAAUUAGCAAUUUCAUUUCAUCCAUGCAUCUAUCUUCACAGAUAUAAUUUUAGGAUUGCUUCUACAAGUCCAAAAGACUUGAUUAGAUCAGUCGAGGUGUGUGUUGGAGCUUGUAAAAGAGAUAAACUUGAGGUGGCCCUGAAGUAUAGUAUCUGAAGGACAGUUAGUAUCCUACAAUAGUCUUUUACAGGGUCAAAAGAAGUUAUAACAAUAUGGCAACAAAGUUAUAAGUGAUUAUGACUUAACAAUCGUAAGAAGCCUUUGCAUUUAUUAACAAACAUCAACAGAAAUUUGACAAACAAGAGUACCUAAAACAUAAGUCUUAGUCCAGAACCUGGUACACAACAGUGCAGCAUCCUCUCAAAGAUCUUAACUUGGAGGGUACCACAUGUUAAAUUCCACCAAAAAAUUCAUACCGUAAUAUGACAGACAAAAAGAGAUCAAUCUCAUAAACAUGGCACUACACUAAAACAGCUUCACGUAAUGACAGACUUCCGAGUUCAUAUGAGGUUCAAGAUCACCAAAAUGAUAACUUUAAGAAGUUGAAACCAUAAACUGAUCGGAUGUACCUCGGAGUCGCUGUACCGAUGACGUGCAGCUGACACGGAGCGCUUCCUCCUAUAUCUGCUCUCAGAAACGCCCUUGCUCCCACCACUGUUUUCCAAAAUGCCCUUUCUUUCCUCUGCCGUUCGGCUGGGGUGCCUCGACACCGACCUCCCCCGCCGGCGGAAUGAGUCCGUCUCUGCCCCGUAGCCAACGCAACCACCCCGUUUGCCGGACCGGACAACCGCCGGCCUCAUUUCCUCGUCCUCCUCCCCUUUGGAUCCAAAGAACUCGUAGGCGAGAUCAUCUAGGCUAAUCUCAGGGAAGCCCGCCCUAUUCACGAACCUAGCCCUCGGCGACAGGAACUCUUCGGAUUCAGGCGGCGGAGGCCGUGGGAACCGGCCGGAGUAGCGGCUGAGGCUCCUCGACUGGCGGUGGCCGCCGCCGCGGCGGUUGGAGGAGCCGGCGUCCUCCGCGGCGCCGCCGAUCGUGGACCUCUUGGUGCCGGAUUUGAAGGCUGCCGAAGCCAUUAAUGGCGAGAGAGGAGGGAAUAAGCAGGGCGGGAGGGUCGGAAUCGAGAGGAGAGAUUAGAAGAGUCGAAAGAGAAGAAGGGGAAGAGCGAGAAAAGAAGGCGGAAGAUCGAAAUUUUGAAAUCCUAACCUCCUUCUAACGUGGAUUUAUAGGUACACUGAAUUUUUUAGAAUACACCUCCACUGUGUUCGCUCUCAUUAAAAAUGAGUCAACGGUAUAUUAUGACUAAAAAAACAGAGAGUACCAAUUUUUAUUUCCUUGUUGAUAUUUCUAAUUUUCUUCGUUAAAAACAAUGUUUUCUGGAUUGUUGAUGAAUUCUUGAAUUUUUCAGCUUUUUUUUCCUUGACCAAAUAUUUUUGAAAAUUCAAUUAUUUAGAAUUACUUCAUUAGUGAUAAAUUACAUUAAAUUUAUCAUUUAUCUAAGGGCUCGUUUGGUUCGUCGGAAAAGAAAGAAGGAAAAGUGGAGUCAACGGAAAAGUAAUGAGAUACCUCUUGUUUGGUUAGAGUUUUCAAAGGAGAGAGACGGAAAAGUUAUAAACCAUGAGAAUAUGAUUUCCACGUUUCAUCGAAAAGUCUUUUUCAUUAGAAAUAUGGAAAAGUUACUUUUCCGUGAGUUGGAAAUCACUCUAUUUUUAUUUUUUCUCAAAAAAGUCUUUCAACAUAAAAAAAAGCAUUAAAAACCUAAUUUUUAUUAAGGGUAUAAUAGGAAUUACAUAUAAUUUUUUCAGGAAAGUGGAUGGUCAACUAAAUAUAAACACUCUGUAAAUCUAUCACUUUUUCAUUGUUAACCAAACACUCUGUAAAUAUAAACACUCUGUCAACUAAAUAUAAACACUCUGUAAAUCUGUCACUUUUUCAUUGUUAACCAAACAUGCCAAAAGUACUUUUCUAGGCAUCCUCUUCUCAGAAAUUUGUUUUCCAGAAAUCAUAUACCUAGGAGGAAAAAUGUUUUCCACGAACCAAACGAGCCUUGAGCGAUUCCUAACUAAAAUAUACUUAGGAGUAACAAAUUAUGAUGGUAUAAAUUGCUGCUGAACCGGCAAAACCUUAUUAUCCAAAAAAAACUUAUAGGAAAAGCAAAAGAAGAAUUGACCUCCUUUUACACCCAUCCAUCAUUGAAUCUACAUAAAUCUUAAAGCACUCCAACUCCAUCAUUCAUCCACUGCACAUAUCUCAAAGGAGCAGUGGAUCAUCCAACGGCAGAGUAGACCGGAUUGCUGCUCUUCUGUUGCUCCAAUAAAAAAAACCAUAGAUCACCGGUUCCUUUUUCCUUGCAGCUACUCAACAUUUUGGAAUGCUAUAUUCCAGCAACUAUCAAUCUCAAAUCCAUUCCUGGCCAUCAAAUCUCUUUGGACACAAUAGAAAUCCUUAGUGAUUCAACCUAGGAUGGGACUACUUGGCUGCUACAUUUUGCUAGAUCAUAUGGAAAGUGUGAAAUAAAAAGCUUUCUAUGUCAAAUUUUGCUAGAUUUUUCAGGCUGGACUUACAGCUUCCAACUAGAAGUGCCAGCUGGCAAUUACCGGUCUAUGUUCUUUACUUUCUCAUACUCCUCUCUAAUUAUAUAAUCUCUUCAAGCUCCUCCCUCUUUUAAAUAUCCCUGCAUGCUGUAACUCAUCUUCAACUCUCUAUCUGCUAUCAAUACUAUUUCCGAUUAAAUAACGUUACUUUUAUUUUGAAUCCUUUCUUGAUGCAUCUCAGUGAAGUUUUCCAUUUUUUUUUUCAAAAUUCCAGACUUGUCUCCAAGGGUGCUUUCAUGCAACAAUCUUUCCCCUUCCCUACCUCAUCUAUAACUAUUUGAGUCCUCCAUUUCCAUUUGAGAGAUUCAUCUACAAGAAAGCUGGGAUCUAGGCUUAAACAUACACUUAGGGGUCCUGAGGGAGGCUACAAAAGAGUAAGCAGAGGAGGGAUAAUGUUGGCAGAGAACAUGUUACAUUCUAGCUGUGGCAAAGAUUGUUAGACAGGGGAGUGCAAAUGUUUAUCUUAUUCUUCCUUCUUUUUUGUAGAAGGAUGGAUGACCCAUCAAUUCGUUACAUGAGAUUUUGAGAUGAACAUAAGAGGGGAAUAGCAAGAAAGAUAUGGUAGUUAGGGAAGAACAUGAAGAUCUAAGAAAAAUAGAAUGAUGCAAGGAUUUGACAAAGGGGACAAGCAUGAUGAUUGGUCAACUUGACAAGACGAAAGUGCUGCAGAAUCUUUCACAACCCCUGGGGAAAGUGACAAAAGCAAAUGGUGAAUGCAUGGCCGCAACCCAGCCAAAAUUUAACAGCAAACGAGCCAUUCCACAGCAGGCUGUAGCUGCAUUUAGACGCCAGUAUGUUACUGGUCUAUGUGUUUGUUUCUUCUCUGCUUCCUUUUCCGAGGGAAUGCUGAUUCAGAACGGCCCUUCCCGAGAAAAAAGCUGAAUGCAUGCGGAUCUCCCAAGGUCUGGCGCGCCCCAGCCCUCACUUGAUUGGCUUUUCAUCUAGUGCAGAUUGGAUAGGUAAUUUAAAAAAAUAUAUAUAGGUAAUUUUUUUAAAAAAUAGCAUUAGGGACAAUAAGGUUGGAUGGAGAUUCAAUAAAAAAAUUAUCGAUCAAUCCGAUCUACUUAUUAAAUAAAUCAAAAUUUUUGAAUCCCACCAAUAGAUAAUCUACUCCGACCCACCGUCUAUGUAACUCAUUCAUUAAACAGUUCAAACUAGAUUAGAUAGAUUAGAUGAAUUUUUAACUAUUUAAGUAGAUCGAAUUAAAUAGGUUAGAAAUAAAUUAAGUUUCAAACAGUUAAAUAGAUUAAAUGGAUCAGAUUAUGACCCAACCUAAUUACUAAACAGAUCAAAUGUUAAAGAUUUAAAUCUGAACCCAACCCAUUUAAUAUAUAGAUUUAAAUGGAUUAGCCUAUUUACGAUCUAAAUUUAUUUAUGUCAAACCGAAAUAUGCUUAAAGCGGGUUAUUCAGAAGUCGGAUUGACGGACCGAAUCACAAAUUACCAUUUUUAUAUCUAGACUGGGUUCCACCUGGUCAGGUUCGUGUUUGUUCAACUCAACAAAAUCAAACUAAGAUCCAGCUUCUGUCUCCAGGACAGGUCGAAACCAGCUUUGAGGCUAUUAUUGGCCAAGGACUCGCUUUGCAUCCCAUGGAAACAAUAUUUCACAUAACCACCAACUUCAUGCAAAGUCUAUAUUUACAGACCCUAAAUACACUUGUGCCAUUGUUCUAUCCGAAAACCUGGUCAACUCUGUUACUAAAAUGACCUUCCUCUAAGCUGCUCUUCUAUAUGAAAAACAGGAACUACAUGUACUUAUCAAGUAUCAGAGUAAGAAAACUCUAAGAACAAAGCUAGGAUUUAUAUCAAUCAGCACAAUUGAAAUGCAAAAAGUUCAAUGCUCCUUCAUAUCUUGCUUCUAUAUCUAACCAACUUUGCUAGUGUUUCUUGAGCAGCCAGUGUUUGGGCAUGAUUAUGCCCAAGCAUCACAGUUCUAAUGCUAAUGCAAGUCCUGCAGAGUUCCUCCCCACUGUCAAAAUGCCCUCCUCUAAGCAACAGCUUAGCUCUGGUCUCCAGCAAUGUGGCCUUGAGCAGUGUCACAUCUUGCCAUGCAUACUCAUCCACCCUCUGGUUCGAAUGCAGCUGCUUCUUCCAGCAUAGCGAGCCAUGCUGCCAAUCUUGUAUCUGGGACACAAAUGAUUUCUCCACCUCCUCGAGCACAUUCGUGCAUACCUUCAGCAGCUCCAGAGCCGAGUUGCACCUCGAGAAGGUCAUGAACGAUCGGAUCGCCAAGGGAAGAGCUGCUUUCUUGAUGAAGAGGACCAUGUCCACUGCCUUCAGCUGGACAAUGGGGGGUUCUGACUUGAACCCAAAGACAAGGAAUGCAGAAGCCCAGAGGUGAUCAGAGUUCAGCAUGGCAUUGCUCGCCUUCCUCACGCCCUCAACCGUGGCCUUGGCCGGCGGCAGCCCACCUCUCCUCUUUGCGAACAUUUGCGUGAUCGGGUGGAAUUGGAUCCAGCAACCCGGGUGCCUCAAGGUUCUCUUUGCCAGGCCAAGUUUAACCAGCGCGAGAGCAGAUUCCACCUCGUUCUUUCGAGAAUGGUGAGCUAAACAGCAGCUGGUGUAGCAGCCCAAGGCCAUGGCAAGACCUUUUCCCCAUUGAUGAAGGCCAUUCUCUUUUGCAGGCAGCUUAUGAGCUGCAGCAGCCAAUAGAUUUGAGGAGACGGGGGCAGGAGCAAUCCAAGCACCGGCAAGAACCAUUCGUGAUGCAAGACUUCUUCCUUUAUCUCUAUCCAAAAUGGCAAAGCAGAACACCAAGACCUUCAUCAGGUAAGGAUUAUUCCUGCAGGAUCCAUCAUCAGUAGAACCCGAACAAAAGAAGUUCUCGCCGAUGGAGAUUCUCUCGAUGGCUUCGAAAAGCGCAGAUGGAGAGAUCGCUAGCUCGGAUAGCAGCGAUCCAAUCACCCACAACCCGAAGCUUAAUCUUCCUAAUCUCUCAUCAAAUUUUCUUAGCACUUCCAGUUCCUCAGCAGGGUAGUCCUUCUUCCGUCUUCCUCUGAUCAGCAGCAUCGAGUCGGCCAAAGAGAGAGGUGGGAGUUGCAUGGGCUCGAAGACCAUCACCUUCGCGAGCCGGGUCGUCACGAUGACAUGGGUAGCUCCGGUGUUCCUUGGAAUGAAAUCAUGUAGGUCCUUUCCUUCCCACCAUUCCUUCUCCGUCUCAAGAUUGUCGAUGACCAGCAAGUAAGGCACAUCUCUGAACAGCUCCCUCUUCAACCUCUGGAAUGCGUCGAACUCUUGCUCAUCGAAGCUCCUUAUCCUCGCUCUUUCCUUCUCAGCUUCGGCGCUGACAUCCAGUCCCAGAUUCAUCGAUAGAUUCAGUAUAUUCUGCCUGAAAUACCUUGCCUCUCCGCCAACCCACAAUACCAUCCUGUAUCUCUGAGAGUAUCUGUGAGCAAAUUCCAGUGCAAGCUCUGUUUUGCCGAUUCCCGAUAUCCCAUUUAUACAUACUACGCUCGCAUUACCAUGACCCUUGCAGCCCCCGCUUCUUGAUUUCUUGUGUUUUGAUCUCUGCUUCUGCAGCCGGCUUCCUUUGCUUGUCGUCUCGAUCGCCGGAUCGAUCCAAGCCUCCAAAGUAGGCUCUUUGCACUUUCUCAUUUCCAAGCUGAUGUAUCUCCCAUUUGUUCUCACUGUAUCACUCUCCUCAUCAGCAAAUCCAUCGGAAAAUCCACGGCUAGCCAGCACAGGCUUUGGACACUCCAUUUCAUGGACAUCGCUGCAUCCAAAGAAGGCAGCUUCGAUCUCUGUCAGCUCCUUCUCCCUCCCAACAAAAUGUCUGUUUCGAGGAAACGGUAAUUCCUCAAAACCUUCAGUCUCCUUCUCGGCGAUGCUAUUCCUUCCAAGCUUUGAUUGCAAGAUGGUGACGGUUUUCGAUACACAACUCCUCCAGUUGCUGUCAUUUGAUUCAAGCUUAAACUCGUUGCUCCUGGUCAUCCCCUCAAAGGCCUCCCUGCAUUCCUUAUCCUCUGACUUCCCAUCGAAAAGACGCCCGAUCUCCGAAAGCUCGGUAUCAAACAAAAGAGGGAUGAGAUUUUUCUUCUGAGCAAAGAAUCUGAUCUCCUCUACGCUGAGAGCAUUAAGAAAGGUUGACGGAGUCACGACAACAACGCCGAAGGUCGCCGCGCAUAUGAUUCGAUCGGCAAUCUCAUGGCUCUGCGUAUCCGAGUACUUCGCUCGAUCAGCAACGAAGGAGGCUAUUCCUUGGAGCUCAAGCUCAGCCUUGAGCCACUUACAGAAGCGAAUGAGAUUAAGGUUUUGACCAUGGAAUCCAAUGUAGACAUCACAGCUGCGGAGCUUCGUAUUGGAGGAAGGGGAGACAGGGCCGCCUUUGGUGAUAGAGAUUCGGGGGACAGGGAAGGAGAAUGAGAUUCGGGCCGCAUCGGAGAACUUCGGCUUCUGAUCACUCGGGUCGAUGGGGAAAUCAUAUCUCUCUGAUGGGGGAGUGUAGGAAGUGCUUGGGAUGUCAUCAGAAUGAGAACCAGAGUAAGAGGUUGGAGAUGGGAGUGUCGCUGAUGGAGUGAUGUUGCUCUCUGGUGGCGGUUCCAAGGCCCUUGGAGAUAUAUAAGGCGAUUGUAAUGCCGAAACAAAUGCAGAGGAAGGUGGGGAGGGGGAGUUCAAGUGCGGAGAGAUUGAAAUGGAAGGAGAGAUGGGAGCAGACUUCUCGCCAUUAUCGGCCGAGGAUCCUGCUAUUUUGAUGGUCAAUGUCCUUGUGUUUGGUUCUGUGGGAUCCUGGAACUCUUCAGCAAUGGGAAGGUCCCGAGGAGCUUCAGGUGGAGAUGGCUCAUCCAUGAAGAAAAUGAAGCUUCGUGGAGGUUAUCAAAAUGUUCUGAGUAUUCCAACAGGCAACAAGAGUAUCUAAAGAAUGAAGAUUGAAGACAAGAAGAAAAAUCACAAGCUACAUCUGUUACUUGAUAAAUUUGAAACAUUUGCAAAGAAAAUCGCUACCUAUGUUCAUUGGAAUGGAAUGUGUGAAAAACCUGAAGAAGCUUCCCUUGGAAUGGAAAAUUUGAUAAAAGCCCACAAACAUGAAGGAAAGGAAGAACUUACUUUGUGUAUUCAUAUCUCAAGCAUGAGAUUCUCAUCUCAAUGGAAUAACUUUGUCUCCAGCUGCUGAAAGUGAGAUUAAAGAUUCAAUAACAGCAUUAUCUGAAGAGGAGACAUUAACCUGAGAUUAUAUCUCCUCUGCCCAUGCCUCCUUUUGUUGCAACACAUGGAAAGAUCUAAGCUUUUGUCCCUACAAAAAUGGAUGAUAAAAGGUGGUGGCCCAUAAACACCAAUCAAAUGAGAAAAAAACGGUGCAGUUCCCAGACUAAUGUCCACUGAGGAGAAAUAAGAGCAAGGUUAGAAAAAGAGAAGCUAAAACAAGAUCAUCUGAACCAAGACACAGGAGAACAACACAUUCGGAGGAAGGCACAGGAGAAGCAUAUAUUUUCCCAAAAAUCAGACUGCUAUUGAGGGGAAACCAAAGAGAGGUAGAACCGUAGAAGAGGGUGGCCUUAACCAAAGCCCAUGAGUUGUUAAUCUCAAGAGAAAUGGAAUCUGAUGCAUGGGUUUGGUCAGCUAGAUGUUGUGGUAUUUAUAUAAUAUUAUACAUUUCAACAUUGUGUUUUGAAAGGGAGGCUGCAGAUCUUGUGUUUUGAACAGUGAUAGUUCCCUGUCUCUGCCUUUGUUUUCUGUGUUGGGUGCUUUAUUUUGCGCUGUUCCAAGCUGGGUCCUCACAGGAAAUAAAGGGGAGGGCUGGUAAAAGGGCAUUGGGAAGGGAACCAGACCUCAGUUCUCGUUGGUUGGGGAGCUUCAAAUGGCCAAAAGAAGACAAGCUAUAAUAUUGGUUGGGGGAGCUUCAGCAUUGUACUCAUCUGCCAUUGGGUUUUGUACUGGAAUUUGGAGCAAAGACCAGUCCAACUGCAACAUCAAAGAAGGUAGGAGUCCUUUAGACAAAAAAAAAAGAAGGUAGGGGUCCAGCAUUCAAAAAUUCACACUAAAACUCCCCCUCCCUGAGUCUGACCACGUUAAAGGCUUGGCAGGCUGGGGACCGGCUAAAGGCCAGCUAUUUUGCAUUCCCCUCCCUUGGUCGCAGCAUGACUCGUUUUUGACCAAGUGGUGCAGAGACCACUGGGCUCACCAGUCACCAGUGCCAUGAUGAAAUCCAAGUAAAAUCCAAGUAAAAUCCAAGUAUCUGUUAUUGUAGCAGGAGAAAGUUAAAUGCUUGUUUAGACUGAAAAGCUAGCACUCACUCAAUAUAAUUGAAGUUGGACUGCACAUUUUACAUUUGCUCAAAAAAAAAGUAAAAAAAAAAACAGUCAUUUUUAUUAUUAUGGAACCAAAAUAUAUCACCCUGUAGGGUGUUCAAGAAAAAAAUGAUGGUUGAUCCACUUUGGUUGUUAAAAAUCUAAUAAAUGUUGAAAAUUGGGAUGCUAAUAUAAAACUGACCUCCUAGCCGGAUUUGGUUUUGCAACUUUUUGCCAGCCAUAUUACCAAAACAUUUUCUAUUUGAUAUUUUGAUGCAAGGGGGCACAGCACAUUAUUAGGGUUUCCCGGCCUUGUGUUUAGGAAACCAAGUUAAAUAUCAAAAUAAUAGAAUUUCUUGUUCCCAGAAAAAAAAUUGCAGCCCAANNNNNNNNNNNNNNNNNNNNNNNNNNNNNNNNNNNNNNNNNNNNNNNNNNNNNNNNNNNNNNNNNNNNNNNNNNNNNNNNNNNNNNNNNNNNNNNNNNNNNNNNNNNNNNNNNNNNNNNNNNNNNNNNNNNNNNNNNNNNNNNNNNNNNNNNNNNNNNNNNNNNNNNNNNNNNNNNNNNNNNNNNNNNNNNNNNNNNNNNNNNNNNNNNNNNNNNNNNNNNNNNNNNNNNNNNNNNNNNNNNNNNNNNNNNNNNNNNNNNNNNNNNNNNNNNNNNNNNNNNNNNNNNNNNNNNNNNNNNNNNNNNNNNNNNNNNNNNNNNNNNNNNNNNNNNNNNNNNNNNNNNNNNNNNNNNNNNNNNNNNNNNNNNNNNNNNNNNNNNNNNNNNNNNNNNNNNNNNNNNNNNNNNNNNNNNNNNNNNNNNNNNNNNNNNNNNNNNNNNNNNNNNNNNNNNNNNNNNNNNNNNNNNNNNNNNNNNNNNNNNNNNNNNNNNNNNNNNNNNNNNNNNNNNNNNNNNNNNNNNNNNNNNNNNNNNNNNNNNNNNNNNNNNNNNNNNNNNNNNNNNNNNNNNNNNNNNNNNNNNNNNNNNNNNNNNNNNNNNNNNNNNNNNNNNNNNNNNNNNNNNNNNNNNNNNNNNNNNNNNNNNNNNNNNNNNNNNNNNNNNNNNNNNNNNNNNNNNNNNNNNNNNNNNNNNNNNNNNNNNNNNNNNNNNNNNNNNNNNNNNNNNNNNNNNNNNNNNNNNNNNNNNNNNNNNNNNNNNNNNGGAGGGUUGAGAGGGUGAGUUAAUGUGGGAUUGUAAAAAGACAUAAAUACCCUUAGCAGUCAUAAAAAGUAAGGGUAUUUUUUGUCCAAUGAAAAAUGAGUAGAUUGAUAAUCUACCAUAACAGAGAGUAGGUUAUCAAUCCCCUAUAUAUAUAUAUUAGUCAAUCUUGCACUGCUUGGUGUCUGACCACCUCGGAAAGCCUAGAUAGCCCCUCCCUCUUCCCCAGACAUCUUUUUUUUUCGUCCCAAUAAUUUCAAAUUCUAAAUUUUUUAAAUUUUGAAAAGUCAAAGUUACACAAGCCUUCCACAUGGCAGCUAUAACUUAAUACACUUAGGGUACAAUUGGUUCGUGUCUAGAACUGGAAUAGGAAUGAAUUGAAAUGGCUAUAUUCUCCGAUAUAUUUUGUUCGCGACCGAAAUUGGAAUCGGAAUUGAAAUAAGAUUUAAAUAUCAGGAGGGAGUAGGAAUUGAAUUUUAGAAAAUUUGAAUAUUUUUAUUUUUUUUUAGAAUCGGAGGAAUGAGACUCCCCCAACUAAAUAGUUGGAAUGGGAGUUAUUUCUAUUCUCGUUCCAUAGUCCAACUCCUUUCAACCAAACAUAUCUUUAAUGUUUACUUUUUAUUUAUUUAUUUAUUUUUAAAUGAGGGGACAGGAUGUUCUUCUUCGCUGAUCCAGCAAAACCAUCUCCCACAAAUCCAGCACUGGGGUCAUCCACCUGCUUUCCGGUCAAAGUGGAAUGGAAGAUGUCUCCUUUAAAUAAUGUGUUGCCAACCAUUAAGAUCCCUUUUCGAGCCAUGAAAGGUCCAAUCACACUCUCUCAUGUAGUCAUGUGACAUCCUCUAAUAUAGGGGUCCAAGUUUCUUCCCCUUCAAAGCCUCUAGCUCAACGCAAGGGACCAAAAGCCACCAAGCAAUGACCGUCCUUAAACGAAAGGUUGUUUGAAUAUACUCCUAAUAUCAGUUCUGACUUCGUAAUCUAACCACUACCUUCUAAUAUUUAUGACAAAAAUUUCACCUAAACUAUUUUAUAGGAGGAUAUAUGCAAUAAAAGUACUGGUGAUUAAAGUAGAAAUUAGAAUGAUUGUUUGCAUAAUGAAAGAGCAGCAGUGAUCAGUAUGUCCACACAAAGCUCUAGAUUUGUCCGUUGGUUUUGCAUAAAUUUUUAGAUUUUUUAUUUUUUGGUACAAUGGUUGUUCAUGCUGAUCUUGUAUGAGUACAGCUAGCAAAGUCAUAAAAAAAAAUUGGGGCGAAGAGAGGAGGAACAGACACAUGACUCUCCUAAAGACCCUUCCGAGUGUUGAGCAGUAAAGAAAGCAACUCAGUCAGCAACCCUAUUCGACUUUUGGUAGAUAUGAGCGGCCUGAAAGGAGCUAUAAUCUCUCACCAGCCUGCAUAUGUCACAAUACAAUGGCUGUCCGUCUCCAUUCCUAUACUCGUCUUGAAUCCACUUGAUCGCAAUGGUAAAGUCUUCUUCCAGAUAAACUUUGCGGUUUGCUUAUAUGCAAGAGUUUCUUAAGGGCCAAUAUGGGAGAAAUAAUAAACAAAAUUGAAGGGGACCAGAGAGAGAUUGCAAACUAUUAUAUAUCAUUCAAUUAUCCAAGCUGAUGUUACCAAUGACUCUGCAGCAAAUGGUGCCCCGAGAAACCGACAGGAUGCAUAUUUUGAGACAAAUAGUAAGGUAAUAUGUGGCACUAAGUACUAAAAGCAGAGGUGAGUGGGAGAAAAAAAAUGAGUCAUACUAAUUUGAAGAAUAUAAUUGGCAUGUAGAGACUUAUUUCUUUCACAUUGUCACAAACAACAUAACCUCACCCAUGGUCCUCCUAUAGAUGAUUUUGAAACUUGGCUGCUCACAAAGUCUCAAACCAGUGUGGCAACACUGCAAACCAAUAGCAUCAUGACAAGUGGAAUAGAGAGGGGAGUGCUUGAUGGUGGGAAUAUGAUGAUACCUCUACCCUAACCAACAUAUUGAGGGUACUUUAUUUCUUGCUGCUUGAGGAUUGGGUAUUGAAGAAUAACUUACCCUCUCAUUGCUGUCUUUGUCAUGGGCCACACUUCAAACACCAUGAGUACCAGAUGUUCAGGAAUCUUCCUUUGGCACUGGUUCUCUAGUGAAUAAAGAAUUCAGUAUCUGUACGCUGAGGGACUUUCAAAUCCAUAACACUUGUAAAAAGCCUCAGGAUAGCCCAAAUGAUAACAUCUUGUAGCAUACAACAAUAAUCUAUCAGUCCCAUUACAUAUAUAGCAUUGGCAGUUAAACUAUGUUGUCAACAUAAAAUUUCAUUGUGACAGAACCAAAAGAUACCAGAAAGCACUGCAACUCCCUCAGUAUCAGUACCCUUCAGAUUUGUAAAGUUGAAUGAGUUAUUGGACCUUACUCUCUAUGGUUUUUCUCUUCUCUUCAAGAAGACUUUUAUAACUAUUUGGCAGUAUCUAGCACAUUUACCCCAUGCGUGGGACCAAAGAUGUUGAUGAUGCUUUGUACUGGAGGCAAGUGUCCAUCCCUCCUGACCAGGACAUAAUGUGCAACUUUCUGCCAAUGGAACACCACACAGAUGGGGGAUUUUAAGAUGUCUGGUUUGGUGGAUACUGGAAGAGAGCAACAAAGACAAGUUUAAAGGUACCAAACAACUAUGAGAAACCCAUACACUAAAGAAAGAUGCACCUUUUGGGCACUUCUUGAUGCUUUUGUAAACCAUAGGCCAAUGGAACUACAACAAGUGCAAGUGGAGGGAGUGCUCAUCUCACCACCAACUUGUUAUGUUCUUGCUCUGUCUUUUCUCCUUUUGGAAGUGCAACUUUUGGCAUGUAACCAUAGCAAGUGAAUGUGGCAUUUCUUUUUCUCUUUCCUCCUGAAAAGGGAGCACAGAACCCCAGUUUACUAAAUAAUUUUUUGCUAUACAUUGAGUUAUUGGAUUGUAAGUUGUAAGGCUUUCCAUAAAGGCUAAAUUAAUUUCUUGCAGUUUAUAUGCGAUAUGGUUGCAGGUCUCUAGGGUUUCAAAGAAGCUCAUGCAUGGUGAGGUUGGCAAUUCUACAAAUCAGUGAGCGAGCCGGCCAAAAACCAUAAUAAAACAUCAAGGCUGAAUGCAGAGAGAAUUGCUUCACUGCAAAGGAUAUGAAAGGACAACAGCUUCAUGGUCAUCUUCUUGGCGACCGAGGUACAUUUGCAGGCAAAGCUUUAGCAUUCUCCGACUCGAAUCUACCAGAAAUUGAUCAGGCAAAUGAUAUUUACCCCAUGACAUGCCUUCUUGGUGGGACCAAACCGCAACAUCAUUAAGUUGCAAGAUCUCUUUACCAACCAAGGAACAUGUGCAUACGAUUGACACCGUACUUAAAAUUAAGAGAAAAAAUGGUUUAAAAUUUUCAAUAGACAACAGCAUACAUAGAAUCUUGGAUAAUUUAUGAAUUUUCUCUAUUCACAAUAGAUUCUUGGAACCUAUCACAAUGAUUCUAGGAAAACAUCAGAGAAAAAGAUGGGAUAGAGAGGAAUGCCAAUACAGAUGUAACAAGAAAUUCUUGACAAAAUAACAAUAUCAUAUUUAUCUAACAUUAUCUACAACAUUGUUGGAGUUUUAAUUAAUUUUUAGGUCUCCUAGAACACUGCAACAACUUAUCAGGCCGUCAGUUCAUAUCAAAUGAGGAAAUUUAUAUCGGCUUGGACACAGACCAGGAUUUUUCCUUUCUCUGUUGGUGGUAGUGGCGAUCAGCAAUCCUACUACGAGUGAAGUGCCUUCAGCUCACUCAUCGAAUUGGUGGGAACCUUCUAUCAAGUGAUCUGUUGGAAUUCUUCAUCGUACAAAAGUAUAUGUAAGAAGAUAAUGGGCUGUAGUCAAUGCGGAUUGCAGAAAAAGGUCCUUUGUGAUCAAACAUAUAGAAGUCAAUUAAGAAACAAUUUCUACCAAAAAAGUAAAGAAAAACCCAUUUAAUUAGUAUUCAUGGAGUUGCCAGUAGUAGUCUGUUCAUGCUUUUUAUACAGGGCAACAUGCUUCUGGUACUCCUCUAGCUCUUUUUCCAGCUUCUCGAUAUACUGGCUGGUGUGUUCAAGAGAUUGCUCAAAUCUAUAUUUCUCCAGGGCCUGCAAACAUUUACAACGGGUCAGUCAGAGAAACUGAGGAGAGGAAAAAAAUAUAUCUUUAGCUGAUGGAAACAGUAACAGUUCUCACUAAUUCAUAAAUCAUAAGGUUCUAAAAUUUUCAUUAACACUGUUAAGAAUGUAGCUCAGGAGCAAAAAUGCACAGAUGAACAUUAGGAAUACAUGGUGCCAAAGCAGCGAAUGCCUUGGUGAUUUGGUGGUUCCUGGGAGGUUAAGAAUCUCUUUGGCAUGUACAUAAGCAAAGUUCAACAAUGACAUGUUUAAGGGGUGACCUAUGUAAGUGGAAUUGCAAUUCCCAACUUGGUCAGCAGGAGCAUGUGGCAUGAGCCUUGUACCAGAGUAACAACAUUUGGAUAAGAGAACUAAGGUUUCUAGAGGUAUUGUAUGUCCAUUGGAUUAAUCAUGCUGAACAAGAUCGGCCAUGAUGGUGCAAAAGGAUAUUUAAGGGUGGCAUAGUGCACAAGGCUCCCACCAUUGAGGGCUCCAGGGAGGGUCAGAUGUACUCCCACCACUGUGUGAAUGGACAUUAACAAUAUGCAAAUGAAUUGCACUGAAAUGGAUAUAUCACAUAAGAUAACAUGGUUAAAAUUGUUACCUUCUGCUUAGAAAGUGUGUCAGGAGGUGACAUAACUUCUGGUCGCACAUAGUUCUUCCCACGAUAAAAUAUUAUAAUGUUAUUAGGUUUUAUAUCAAUCACGGCGCCUUUGCUGAGUCUUGCCAGCUCCUCAGCAUAUUCAUGAACCUGGCCAGGUCUACAAGGCUUGCAUACUACUUUGACGGUUUCAUGUUUCUUCCAGUGGAGAUGCAUGUUGAGAACCACACCACCAAAUACUCCCCGUCUCCCAACAGGGACAUAAUUUUUCUUCUUUUCACCAGUACGUUUGAGGUAGAACCGCUCUUCUUCAGUAAGGAUUUCAGGAUCAUGUUCGGGUCCUGGAGCUUUUGGAAUCUCAUAUUUCCUCAGUUUCUCAAUCAGCCAUUCUUCUUUCCUUUUAGCCUGAACUACAAACAUAUGCCAGUCAGGAAGGGUUUAAAACAUAAACUAUACAUCAAGAAUAAAGGAAAUAUAAAUAUCUUCAUCAAAUUAUAUUUACAGUGCAGCCGAAUUUUAAAUAGCACACUCUAAGGAGAUAUUGAACCCAAAACUACUUUCACAAGCUUGCAGCUGAUGAAGGGAUCUGGAGAAGAUAAAUGUUUCUAAAUUUUAUCUUUUUGAAAGUAAUAAAUGACUGUGAUGAAAAUUCACUGAUCUUAAAAAACAAUUUUUAAGAAAUGGAUAAAAUGAGAGAGAAAACUAAUCAUGUAUCCAACCUUUUCAAGCUUGUAUCUAAUCCUGACUUCAGGAUUGGGAGAUUUCAACUUCUUUUUUGCCUUCAAGCGGUACCACUUGAGCUCAUUUAGUUUGGCUUUCCUGGACAUUUUCUGCCGCUUAGGCAUUUUCAUUCCCUUUGUCUGAGCUUGUGAUUUGGCACUUGGGUCUUUAAGAGAAAACCUAGCCACAUCAUCUUCUGUAUCCAAUGUCACUAACGCGUUGCUUCUAAAUCUAACAGGUUGCCACCUUUGCAGGCCAAAUAAUUUAUUUGUAACUGAUCUUUGAACUGCCAAAGAAGACAUUCCAAUGGGCAUUGAAAAUGACAUAGUCUUGUAUUCUCUCUGAUCUGGACAUGAACACAGAGAAAAAUGAGAAACCAAUGUGAGCCUUGGUACAAAUAACAUUGGCAUCAAGCAACAUCCAUUACUGAAGCCCGUCCAAGAAGUCCUGCAAGCAAAAGUUGCUAGUAAUUUGCACAUGCCCCCCCUCCUGAAGAAUCAGAAAGUAACUUAAUUGAAUCAUUAUCAUGAAAACCAUAAUAAUUGAGAUGUUUGAAGGUUUUAGAGUGGAAAAUACAGUUGAUUGACAAUAUUAGAGCAGCUACAAAGUUGGAGAUACUCAUGAAUAUAAUCUAUGCAGGUAUAUAGUCCCCUGUGCCAUCCAACACUUUUGCUUCUAGGAUAUUAUAUAAUAAAAGCAUAAAGAAUUUGAUAAAUUAACCUUAUAUAUCAGGAACGCCAAUUCAAAACAAUAAGAAAACUAAUUCCUAGCAUCAAGAAAGUAUAUAAAGCAGAAAUUAUUGCGGCAAAUAGUCACCAAAAUGGUUGUGCAAUUUGGACCAGCCAAAGCACAGGUUCAACCACUCUAAAAGCUAUCUUUCAAGUAAAUCUUACGGGUAAGUUCAGAAAUUAUAUGCCAUGGCAGAAUUCAUUUGCUAGGUAUAUUUAGUUACACAAAUAACCACACUUGAUCUAUGUCAUGGUUUAUGCCCACCAAGCAGUUGACAUGUAAGAAAGCUGAAUGGCUACCAUCAACUCUAACUGGCUAGGCACAAGGUAUUGAGUUCAUCGCUAGAUCCAAGGCAAACUUGGCAUGCAUUACAGCCAAAAAAAAGGUUAAUCAGCCACAAAUCAAUAAAAUUAUUAUGCCAGCGAUGCUCCAAAAGCACAUCUUUCAACAAAAAAUGAAUGGAUAGCUUCUACAAAAGAUAUUCAGCAACCAUUCAACAAAAGUUUACAGACUAAAAUUUCUAAAUGAUUUAAGGAUAAAAAAAGAUUAAGAAUGAUCUGCAAAGAAUCUGAUAGCUUUACAUGAGUGGUCAAGUACAAAGAGAAAAUAAAGAAGAGAAACAAACUUGGACCAACAAAAGCUUCACAGGUCUAAAGGAUUUAGAUAAAGUAAUAAGAACACGUGAAAUCCACUGCACUUUCUUCUUUUAUUGGAGAUAAUUGGUAGAUAUUGAAUAAUAGGUAAGAGAGAGGACUAAAUCUUGCACCCAUAAAACAUGAGACAAGAUACUACCACCUUCUAUCACAUUGAAAGGACCACCGACAAAGAUGGAGGCACGAUUCAAGAGGCCUAGCAUCUCUUUUGACCACCUUUCACAACAGAAGGAUCCUUUAUGAGCUCCUUGGACUUUUUAGAGACAAUACAAAGAACCUUGCCUUUGGUCUGCUUCUACAUGUGGUCUAUCAAGUUGGUCAUAAAUCAUGAGGAAGAUGAUGCCGCUGCAAUCCCUCACCAAUAAUCCAAUUGUAAAAUGUCUUAUGAUUCUUUAUCAUACAAAAUAUGGACAAGAAGUUCCUAAAAAAGGGAAUCUACCAGAGAUUUGAAACAAAGAAAAUGAGAAAAGUCAAUACCACCUUCUUCUCAGGGAUGUCAACUUAUCAUGUACCUUAUGAGAGGUGCUUGCCAGCUACUGAGAAAGCCUAAUUAAUAAUAAAGAUAAAACAUUUAUUUAGUCACCAUCCCCAAUCAGAGCAUCCCUAAAGAACAAUUGUACUUCUUUCGAGAUGGGAAGAAGACCCUAACUUUUGAUUCACCACAAACAGCCAGCCUAACAGACCUAGAAACUGCAAGGUGGAUGAGACAGUUUGAUUUAUCAGAGAUUUAUGCUAGGUUUCAAGUUUCUGAAUGAGUGAGAAUUAAAUUGUGCUGAGGGAUGAUUGAAGCAGCCUCAUCAUGGCUAGAUUCACAUAGAUGUUAGUUAAAAAUGAAUCUUAAUACUUCAAACUUCAAAGUGACCCAAAACCAAGUUAUAGAUGCUAGCAGACAUUGGAAAUAUAUGAACUGAAAGAUAAUAACAUCUUCAUGUUAUCAACUUUAAGAGAGUGGAUUUAAUUUAUCUUCAAAUACUAUCCCAUUCUUUUCAGAUCUCCAAAAACACAAUGCAAGGAGUCAAGUGCCUAGCACCUUGGCACUUAGAAAAACCACUAAAAAUCAGUGCCCUUUCACUCCAUAGGAAUUCAUCUUCGUUAACUCAAGAAAGUGUAAUCAGGUUUGCUAAACAACCUCAUAUUUGCAAAACAAGUGGCUGCUUAUCUCAUCAUCUUUCCAACAGAAAUUACACAUUUGGAUUGAAAGCCCUAAUAAAUUUAAGAAUACAUGCUGCAGAAUUGAUACAUCUUAGAAUUUUCUCUAGUGUCAUCACAUAACAAAUAAUUUCCACCCUAGCAGGAGCCUGACCAAAGGAAACAAAAGCAGCCAGACUUCAAGACAUACCAUACUCUAUAAUCUUUGAAGGACAACUUGGUCUAAAGACUAGAUAAUUGUGGUCCAGACAUACUACAUAUGCAUCGUCCAUAGCAAUCAAAAUGUAAUAUUAUUAAGCAAAUUGAGAAUAGAAUUAAAAUCUAUAUCUUUCAAUUUUUUUAUCAAAAUUUAAUACUAUUAUGCAAACUGAGAAUAGAAUUAAAAUCCACAGCUUUCAAUUUUUUACAUGACACCCCUAACCUCUAUGUUACAAACAACAGGUCCAUGUUCCUUUCCAUUAUAAUUACCUAUAAGCACUCCCUAAAGCACAGUAAUCUCUAAAGCUUAGGAAAAGAGUCUAAAACAUGGUAUUGCCAACCCAAAGAUAAAUCCACGACCAAAGUCAAUUCCUUCCUCAACUCAUUUGGACAUCCUUUUUUACUCCCGACAUUCAAAAUAUGGUUAAAAGGAAUAAAAUCAUUUAACUCUAUUACACAUGGAUUAAUGUAUCCUAUGGUACCAGUCAUACUGGAUUUUGUGUACAUACCAGGUAAGUAGGAGAAUGGUGCAUGGGUACAUAUCUUCACAUCAUGCGUUCCAGUCCCUCCUACUAAAAACCUCCUUGAACCUUCUUAAAAUCAAUUGGCAUCAAGAAUGCAUCUUAAAUAAGGCAUGGAUUGAAUUAAACCUUUAAGGAGAGUAAUGACAUGAGGAUAGCCCACAUUAGCGUCCAUGGUCUGCCGUACCGGUCCGUACCGGCCGGUACGGGCCGGUACGUACCGGUCCGGCCUGGGACCGGUACCGGAUCAGCGUGGAAUCCGGUACCGGUAGUUUAUUGUUAAAGAACCGGUAAGCCACCGGUUCGGACCGGUAUGCCACCGGUACGGACCGGUAUGGGACCGAUUUCGUACCGGUUCGGGCCACCACCGGUACGCCGACCGGUACCGGUAUGGCGGACCUUGUUAGCGUCAGUUUUACAUAUGCUUCUUCCUUGAAGGUAAUUUCUCGAUCACCAAACUUUUCUCAAUAUCUUCUCAUAGUUUCUAUACAGAUUCUUUUAGCCCUUCAUUUUUCUUUACCAACCAUCCCAAUGAAACCCUAUUCGCUCUCUCACUAAGGUAUCCUUCAGUUUUUGUUAGAAAUGAUCGUAAUACUUAAAUAAAGUAUAAAAAUCUUUACAAUUUACACAUAAAAGACAUGAAAUUCCAUUCUUUUCCUACAUUUACCACUUGAAAAUUUUGUAUUUUCCUCUCCGAUGUUUCUAUCUUAUGUUCUAGACCCCUCCUAGAUGCCUGAUAUAUACUGUGUGAUAUAACACUAGCCUUAUUGUUCUCUUAAAAGAAAUAAGAGAAUGCUCAUAAGCAUGGGAUAAUCACUCAAACUCUGGAGUCAUGCAUCCACUUCAUCCAUCUUGCUCUGUUCUAUAAGAGCUCUGUCUAUCUAUUUGUCAUUCCAUCCAUAAAACCUCAUACACAUAAAUUACAAUAAAGAAAACCUUACUAGGAGGCUACUCAUAGAUGAUUUAUUUAGUAAAUUAGGUGAUGAUUGCAACCCGCUCUUCCAACAAAAUCACUCAAAUGAGCAAGAAAAAACAUUAAAAUUGAGCUUGCCCAUAAAUAACGCAGUCCAAUUCUGCCAUGUCCAACUGAACAUGGAUGAGGCUGUAUGAUGCAAAACAAAAUUGACAAACCUAAAUGAGGCUGAUUCAAUAUACACAACUUUUUCUUCCAAAUAAGAAUUGUAUUUAGAAUGGAGGGUGGGGGGGAGGGCAGAAGGACCACAAGUAAACCUCAAAGAGUUUGAUUAGGCAUCAAAAAUCUCAAUUUUGAUGGCCAACAUUCUUAAAAAAAACAAAUAAAAAAAAUCUACAAUGGAAUUUAACUGCACCCUCAGGAAAUCUAACAUUAAUAACUAAGUAUUGUUAAAGAAACCCUAGAUAGGAUUCCAGGAAAGGGAAAAGAACUACCUUGGGGGACAGGAAAGAGAGGAUUCUAAACACCGAUAAGAAGAAAUCGCUCCACAGAUCGACCUAAUCUUCUUACUCGAGAGAAAACGAGAAAAAGCGGCCAUGGAUGGAGAGAGCACCGCCGGCUCAGGCCCGACUUCGACUCGGCCGCGACGGCGACCGGUGAAGGAGGCGGCGCGGUCGAUGUGGUGAGGUUUCGGGGCAGUCACUAGGGUCUUGGACGGGUACAGUAACGGUUCCGGUUGGGCUCACUCCGUUGCUGUGUUCGCCGUCGGAUCUCAAUGUAACGGAUCUCUUUUUGUAACAGAUUCACCAUUGGAUCUUGUUGGUUUGCGAUUUUUGAUGCAUUACUGGGAGCAAAUUGGAAGUAACUGAUAACCCCAUAUCAUAAUGCUAGGGAAACAAUUUAACUCGCAGAGAUAGGUAAAACAUAUCAAUAGAUUUAUUCUUCCUGAAAAAUACCAUUAGUUUUGUUAUUAAAAGUGCUAAGUGAUAUUUUAGUUGCAAACAGUAUUAGAUUGGUUGAUAUUACAAUUUCGAUGGUAGACUUCGUGCUACAUGGAACAUUAUGUUAUUUGCAAAAAAAAAAAAUUGAAAGCUUCUCCGAUCAUCCUUGAGAGAGACAUCUGGACAGAUGUUAGGUGGCUAUCAGGCUAACUUUCUUUAGAUAUCAAUACCCAUUCUCUAACAUAGAGUUGCUUGAGAAUAGAGCAACUCUAUAAUUUUUUUGAGUAACAUAUAUUUAUAAAGAGGUUAACAGUGCUGCAGACUGAAUGACGACAUAUGUAGCUGAUCAUACUAGAUCUAUUUUGUAGACGAUUGUGAUAGAUAUUCUUUUUGAACUUUUAGAUAUUUUAUUUUCUGAUUCUCACGAAUGUAUUUAUUUUAGAUUGGUAUGAUAAUUCAGUUUACUAAAAACUUAAAAGAAAAGAAAAGUAAAGAAAAGAAAAAAUUAUAACCACAAUAUGUACUAGAUUUGUUGCAGUGAAAUAUUUGAGCUUUCUAGUUGAUAUAAACCAUGCAUGCAUCUGCUGCUUUACUAAUUGUUUGUAAAAAAUUUUACAUCUCCUUGUAUUUGGUAGGAGAUAUAGAAUUCAUGAAUAAUAUUUUUGAGUUAAAAAUUCACAUUGUUGAUUAUGAUUAGUAGCAUCUAAAAUGGCUAGAAUUUAAAAUUUAUUUUUCUAAUCAAAGUUUAGAUCUUAAAGCUGCACUGAUGAGUAUAUAAAAUCAAACUUUGGACAACAAUAUCUGAAACAAUAUCCUAGAAUAUUAAUAGCAUCUCACUUGGAACAGAAGUCAAAAAUCUUGAUUCGCAUCCCUUUCCAUCUGAGAGAGAUCCAAAGUCCCUAGUAGUAUUAUCCCAUCAUAUUUGUUAAAAAAAUAAUAAUUGUUAGGGGGUGUAAAGGGGGGCCAUAAACCUUUUUCUUUCGUGAGGCGCCUUUUGGACAAAGCCGUGAGGGGUAUCUCCCAUCCUGAAAAGGUGGAGGGACUCUCCAAAGCGGACAAUAUCUCGUGACGGGACGCAACCUCUUUCUCUGCUCUAACAGAUAGGAUGCCCCGGGUGCGUGGACCUCCCCCCGCACAAUUCUUCCCACUCGGAGGGGUAGUGUUAGGGGUGUAAAGGGGGGCCACAAACCUUUAGUCUCAUACUGCUUGAGUAGUGAAAAGGGUUGUGCUUAUAAAGGGUCUCCAUUCCUUUUUUCCUUGCAAGGUGCCUUUUCGACAAAGCCGUGAGGGAUAUCUCCCAUCCUGGAAAGAUGGGGGGACUCUCUAAAGCGGACAAUACCUCGUGACGGGACGCAACCCAUUUUUCUGCUCUAACGAUAAUAUCUUAUAUUUAUAUAUUAUAUAUUUUUAAAAUUUGGUAUAAGUUAAUGUAGAGAUGCACAACUUUUGUUAUUGUGAAAACUGGAUUCCUAGCCUGCUGGUACCAACCCUCAAUCAGCUAUGCCAUUGGCAUGUUUACUGGAAAUAUUAUUUAUUGGAUUUGGAUGCUAAAACAAUCCAUUUUAAGAUAACACGAAUUUUUUGCAAGCAAGAAGGAUUUUGUAAAAUAAUUAACAAUUAUAUUUUUCUUUAAAUACAAAUAAUGCUACAAAUAUGCGCAUUCUAGCCAUUAUUUCAGUCUGUCUACCCAUAUAAGGAUGGCGACGAUGGAAGCAAAACUAUCAGAAAACUAAAAUAUAAAUACAAACAGUAAUUUUUGAAAUCCAUUCCAAAGUUCUUUGUUGCAAAAUUGAAAGCAGAAUUCGGAAGAAAAAAAAAAAAGUAGAAUCCAAAUCAAAUUUGAUAUGAAAAUCAGAAUAAUCCAAAUCGAAUUAGCUCAUCAUGUUUGCCAUACAGAUCCUAAUUUUUGAUGUGAUUGCUAUGACUGCCUUGCACGAAUUGGAUGUAAAUGGCUUGGCUCUCAACAUUUAACAACCAAUCGAUGGACCCAACUCUUUCUACUGGGGACCCCAAGAAUUUUAUUUUUAUCAAAUUGACCCAACGAUGCAAACAAGUUUUUUUUUUUUUUUUGGUUACAUCGGCGACACACAUAUAACAGGUGUGCAUGCAAUCUAUAAAGUCAGAAAAAAGAAGAAAAUAUAUAGGAGAUGCAAACAAGUUUUAACUAAUAGAUUAAUAGAAAAAAAAAAAAGUAGAAUCCAAAUCAAAUUUAAUAUGAAAAAUCAGAAUAAUCCAAAUCCAAUUAGCUCAUCAUGUUUGCCAUAGAGAUCCUAAUUUUUGAUGUGAUUUGCUACUACCACCUUGCACGAAUUGGAUGUAAAUAGCUUGGCUCUCGACAUUUAACAACCACUCAAUGGACCCAACUCUUUCCGCUGGGGACCCCAAAGUUUUUAUUUUUAUCAAAUUGACCCAACGACGCAAACAAGUUUUAACUAAUGGAUUUGGUCUACGCUCUGCAUUGAAGUCAAAAUGGACCGAUUUAAAUAAAUCCAGGGAGCAGCAGCUAGCGGCGUGGUGUCGGCAUUUCCCGAAUACGAAGGGCCGUCCAGAUCUGAGUCGAGGGUCGGGAUCUCAUCUUCGACAAGAAGUGCGCCUCUCGUUCCGGGCACGACUUUUGGCAUCUCGCGACCGUUUCGGUUGUUCCGCCGGCAGGUUUUGUUUCGACCCUGCUCUUGAAAGAAAUAUCAUUGAUGCCACCAGGAGGAGCAACCUUGAGAUCAGUGGAACUUGAAUUAGAGGAGAAACUAUAAAUUUCAAAGGCAACUUGCACCUAGAAUUCAUGAUUGGAGCUAUAACCAUUUCCAAAAACUUUCAUCAUGUAACAAAUAUAUAUAAUUUUUUUUUUAGAAGGUUGAAGGUGUGACUCAUGUCUCAUAGCAUUUCUAUAUAUUAUUUUGAAGCAAGAGCAACUAAUUCUAUGAAGAAUAUAGGUGGGUGUAGUAGAGUUGUUGGUCCUAGAUUAAUUAUGUUUAAGAUAUCAAGAAUUAUAUAAAAAGAAUAUUUGUGCUACUAUCAAAAAAGAAAAAAAUCAUCUUUUGUUCUUUCUAUGCUAAGGAAGAAUAAUAAAAAUGUUAAAAUAAUGAUAUUUAAUUGAUUACUUAUACCUUGAAUGUUAUAACAUAUUAAUCACUAUUAAACGAUGGAGAACUAGACAUUUUAUUUUCAAAUAAAGUUUCUAGCCACCAUCGGCUACCAAAGCAAAGGAUAUUUUAGGGCUUUUAAUUAUAUAUAAUUACGUAGUUUGUAUGAGUUAUUAUACAAAUUUUAGGCAUAUUGUGAACUUAUAGAGAUAGACCGUGAAUAAAAAUUCUAGUCCAAAAAUGGUCAAAUGGAGUGUCUGAACAUGGCUAUGGUCUACGUAAUUAUAUAUAAUUAAAAUCCCUAAAAUAUCCUUUGCUUUGGUAACUGAUGGUGGCUAGAAACUUUAUUUGAAAAUAAAAUGUUUGUAUGAGUUAAUAUACAAAUUCUAGGCAUAUUGUGAACUUAUAGAGAUAGAUCGUGAAUAAAAAUUCUAGUCCAAAAAUGGUCAAAUGGAGUGUCUGAACAUGGCUAUGGUCUAUGCCUUCAAUUAGAAAUUGAGAGCAGGAGAUUGUAAGAUUUGUGUUUAUUAUCAUACAAAAAUAAAGCAUAAAAGGGGAAGUGAUGUAUGAUGCCCAAACUUUUAUUAAUUAUAGUGGUUACGUACAAAAGAAGCAAUGAAAAGAGGGUAUAAUAUAGUGGAAUCAAUUCACAUGUAUGAAUAAUGGAGCAAGGAAGCUCAUAAGNNNNNNNNNNNNNNNNNNNNNNNNNNNNNNNNNNNNNNNNNNNNNNNNNNNNNNNNNNNNNNNNNNNNNNNNNNNNNNNNNNNNNNNNNNNNNNNNNNNNNNNNNNNNNNNNNNNNNNNNNNNNNNNNNNNNNNNNNNNNNNNNNNNNNNNNNNNNNNNNNNNNNNNNNNNNNNNNNNNNNNNNNNNNNNNNNNNNNNNNNNNNNNNNNNNNNNNNNNNNNNNNNNNNNNNNNNNNNNNNNNNNNNNNNNNNNNNNNNNNNNNNNNNNNNNNNNNNNNNNNNNNNNNNNNNNNNNNNNNNNNNNNNNNNNNNNNNNNNNNNNNNNNNNNNNNNNNNNNNNNNNNNNNNNNNNNNNNNNNNNNNNNNNNNNNNNNNNNNNNNNNNNNNNNNNNNNNNNNNNNNNNNNNNNNNNNNNNNNNNNNNNNNNNNNNNNNNNNNNNNNNNNNNNNNNNNNNNNNNNNNNNNNNNNNNNNNNNNNNNNNNNNNNNNNNNNNNNNNNNNNNNNNNNNNNNNNNNNNNNNNNNNNNNNNNNNNNNNNNNNNNNNNNNNNNNNNNNNNNNNNNNNNNNNNNNNNNNNNNNNNNNNNNNNNNNNNNNNNNNNNNNNNNNNNNNNNNNNNNNNNNNNNNNNNNNNNNNNNNNNNNNNNNNCGUCCAUUUUUAUAUAGGAUUAUAUAUAUAUAACCUUUUUUUUUGGCACGAUAAAAAUAUGAAACUUUGAACAAUUUCUUCUCAGAAAAAAGCUUUGAUUAUUUUCAAUGACAUAGUCUUAGCUGACUAUUGACCAUUUUAUCAUAUCAAACUAAUCUAAAAGCAAUCGUCAAACAAAAUAUGCAAUGGUCUCGAUUGACAAGUCGACACAAUCACAACCAUUUGGUUUUAUUAGCAAACAAUAACUCCAAGGUUCCAAUUAAAAUCUGAAUGGCGUAGAUCUGUAAUUUGCUUAUGAACCAAGGGCGGAAUAGGUGGCAGCUGGUAUCAAACAAAGGGAGAAAGUUCAAACUUGAAAUUUUGGUUGGUGACACCACCCAAUCCGAAAGGCAUUGGCUGAAUUGUUUAGAGCGUGAUUGACUUGAACUCCGGGCCUCGUAAUUGGAAUAUGGCGCCUUUGGUCUUAUAAAUCAUAUUUUGUUAGAAGAUGAAGUGAGGAACACCAAAGCAGACAUGCCAUUGUUUUUAUCUGGGGACAGAACAAUGGUCUUCAAAGGGUGAGGGGACUUUCAGCAGAAGGGUUUCAAGAGAAACCAAGAGGAUUUUGAUGAAUCUGGUCAAUUGAGUAAGUAUAUCAAAUGCUCCUGAACUUGAUGUAUAAGAGUGGUGGUUAUUUUAUACUUUUCUGCAACUGUUUUACCUCUUCUUUUUAAUUUAUGCCUCUAGUCUGUAUGCAAAUCAUCAGAUGAUUUGGUUCGAAUUCUUAUCUGAGAUGUAUAAGAUAUGGUGAUUCAGACAAGGCCUACAAGGGUUUCAAUUGCUUUUUGGGCAGAUAUGAAUCAUAUAUAGUAUGUGAUUAGUAACCUUCAAUCUUGCCCCUCUUUUGUUCUCUUUCAAUUGUUGUUCAGAAAAUUCAGAACAAGUUGAUAUUUUGAUAAUUUUCCCUUUUUUUUCUUUUGGCAUCUGCUCCCUCUCUCUCUCUCUCUCUCUCUCUCUCUNNNNNNNNNNNNNNNNNNNNUCCUCCUCCUCUCUCUCUCUCUCUCUCUCUCUCACACACACACACACACACACACACACACACGAUUAUAUGGUUCUCAUAUGCAAAAGUUCAUUUUAGAUUUGAAAUAACUAGAGUAUGUCCAUAUACUAGAUCCAAAAAUUUUAUAUUCAACUUUUUUUUGAUGAAGUAUAUUCAACUGUUAAUGUCUGUUUCAAUAACCAAUGCCUUUGUAACAUGAUGAUCGAUUUUUAGAGUAUUGCUUAUGUUGGCAUAAUUUUAGGGAUUACAUAACAACAUGUAUCAGCCCAUAUUAUGUUUAUUUAUUAGUGUGAUCCUAUAUCGGUCAGUAUUAUUUUUCUUUGUUAUCAUAAUCUUAUUAGAGCGAUUUUAGAGAUUACAAAACAACUUGCAAGUAUUAUUUUUCUUUAUUAAUAUGAUCUUAUAUUAGCCUAUAUUAUUUUUUCUGUAUGGAGUCUGUACAUGAGUAUAUAUAAUCCAUGAGAUGUACCGAAUAUGACAGAACGGAGAAAUAAAAUCACUUGUCUCUUUCUUUUUCUCUUAUUUUUUUCUUCUUCUACAAAUAUUUUAACAGCUUCUUAGCAAAAAAAGGUCAUCAAAAAAUUGAAAAGAAUUAAUGAACUCUUGUAUCCCUGAUGUAUUUACUGAAUGAUGGAAAUGCUAUGAUAAAAAAAGAAAGAGGAGUUAGCAUCCUCCCACACGGCCAAACGCCUGUGUUGAGAUAUGUGAAGUCUCACAACCACCAAUUUGUGGUUUUGAACAAUUUAUGCCUGAUAUAUGUACUUUAAAGUCUCCUUAAGCUACAAGGUGUUAAAUUUUAGAUAUAAGCACACGUUUCUGUUGUUUCCACAACACCAUCAACUCAAAACAUGGGCAGAAAUUAGAGUCCUCACUCAUCCAACAUGCCACAAAAAAACUGAGCAAAAUUGCUGCUACUUUUAUUUUUAUAGUUUCACUUGUGUUCCAAUCAGUGGCCCAGACUGUGAUUCGACGAUUGAUCAGAUGAAUCACUUCUUACCCUGCUGAAGAGAUGCUGUUCAUUUAGCUACUAAAACAUCUGCAGAAUGAUGGAAGUUUCAUGAGCUGUUCUUCUCUGCAUGCAGAUUGGUGGAUAGAAAAUGGGUUGUGCUUCUUCCAAGAUACUAACCAGGUCGGGAAGCUUCCAACAGGAGGUGAAGCAAAGCAAACAGAGGAAAACUAAUGGGUUAGAGGAAUUGCUCGUCUCAAAGGAUGGAGGAGACAAAUUUCUUGCUCUUCUCUGCACUGCAAACACAGUGGCUAGGAGGAUCAAGUCAUCAUCACUGAGAGAGGCAACAAUUGAGCCCGCAAAUUCCAAAACCAUGGACCUUGAAGAGUCUGAUAAUACUGCAAAUCCAGAAAAUGAGCUCACAAACAUAGAAACGAUUAAUGCAUGGGAGUUGUUGGCUGGCUUGGAAGAAGGUAAAGAAGAAGGAGAGCAGAAGCAGAGGGAGCAUCACCAUAAUGUGGAAAGUUCUAACAUUGAUAAGGAUGGAGAUUACAAGUUCAUUGUAGGCAAUGACUCGAUACCGUCAACAAGCUUCAGUUUGAUCGAAGAUAACAGCAAUGGUGCGGUCACACAAACUAGAAGCAUCCUCACAGUGGAGGACUAUGAUGCAAUGGUGGCAGGAAAUUACUCGUUGGAGGAAGGAAAGUACAUGACUGAAACUUGUAGGAGCACAGAUGUUCUACUUCCUACAGGUUCAGAGAGCUUGAUAAGGGAAUGUUCGACAAACUCUGUGAUGAUGGAGGACAAUGGUGUUGAACAAGAGGAGAAGCAUGAAGAAUUGGAGGUGAAAAGCAUUGGAACAGAAGCUGGUGUCCAGGAAAAUGUAGAUGUAAAACCUGACCAAAUGAGUGAAAAGGGUGCCAAGAGAAAAGCAAUGGCAAAGGAGCUCACAGCUCUCAAAGUUCCAGGUUUCGAAUUCUCGAGGACUGGAAGUCUAAGAGAGUGGCUUAAACUAGGAGGCCAAGUGUUCUCCCCGGGUUCUUAUGUCACACCAAAGUUUGGCAAUUUUGUCUCACAAGAUCCCGGAUAUGGAGAAACAGGGUGUGUCCAUAAUGUCUUUGAUCCAGAUUUGAUAGAACAGUUUGAACAGGCCAUGAAGCAACUAACAAUGGAAGAGGAGUUCGUCCUUAAACAGAUUAUAGAGAGCUUGGAGGAUGGCCAUGAGGGAGACAUUUCGAGGGUGGAAGUGUCUGAAGAACACAUACAAGUAUAAAAUAUAAGUUUAGAUUGAUGAUCGGAGUGAAUCACAGAAAUAUGAAUGCCAUAAAUGUUGUAAUAUUUUUGUAAUUAAUACAGAUCUUUCAUCUCCAAAAAAUUUUAGGAUAUUUAAGGUAAAGUUCUGCAUCGAUUUAUACUUCAUAAAAUAGUUUGCAAUUUCUUAUGGAUGAAGUAUAAUAAAAUCAGUGAUGCAACAGUUGAUGCCAAAACAAAAAUGUUGCCUCAACAAAGAAACCUAUGUCCACAGGGCUCAAGAAGUGUAAGCAAAGCAAGUCUCAAAUGCAACAUCUGAUUGACAAAAGGAAGAAAGCUGAAGUGGUGGGCUGGUUGUUUAAUGUGCUCUAAUACUGAAUUGCCACCCUAUAUUGUGAUGUUUAGAUAUGUUCAUGUUCAUCUUUUUCUGAUCUGAAAAACUAUAACCAAGUUCUAAUGCUUGUUUUUCUUCCUCUUCUUAUUCUUAUUAGUAAUUAUUAUUGUUAUUUUAUGAAUUCUGCACAUGAAACAAUUUGAAAACAGAACAGAUUUGGUGAAUGAACCAGGAAGACUUAUCCGCAUAUUCAUGCAUCUAAAUUUGCAAAUCUACACAAGAUACGGAGUCCUGGGAUGCAAUCCUCUUGGUCCAAUGUUGGAUGAAACUAGCACUGACCAAAUCAUCAGAAUUACAACAAGAUUUCCUCAUCCUGGGUUCAAAUUAUUACUGAUGCAAUGCAGCUGUCGAAACCAGAACUUUUUAAUUUAAACAUUCAGUUAGAUAUAAGAGCAAGAUCAAUAAAAUAGAAGAAAAAGCUGAAAUGCUAAUCGUUGCUUCACAGAAAAUCGAGUCGCUCGUGCUGAAGAGGGACUACAGGCUCUACUUUAUAGCAGUGACACCUGUAAGAAAAUGCUGUAAGUGCGUGCUAAACAAAAACAUCUGGAAGAAAGCAAUGGCAAAAAUCCAUGCAUGGAAAAUAGAACCAUGUUGAUCCAAAGAAAAAAAGAGAGGAAAGAACUGAGUGCUAACGUUUCAGGUUUCCUCAGUUGGUUCAGUGGAUUCUUAUUCUGUGUAGAUACUUCCGUUCAUAUUGGGAUAGAAUUUAAGUCCUUGCUGAAUGAGAAAAUUGAGCCAGUGAUCUUUCCAUGUCAUGUUCAAUGUAUGCCAAGAUACACAACACUUUCUUAGGCCAGGUGCAAUUUAUAGUAGAGGUUGUGAAGGCAUAAAUAGAGAGGCAGCCACACUGAGUUCAUCUGCAUCUGAAAGGAGGACGAAAUUAUGAGGAUGAUCUUGGCAGCGGAGGCGGCACCAUCAGUGGUUGAUGGUUGUGCUGCAAAAUAUUCUGUUAUUGAGGCUGAGAGUUCGAUCCCAGAACGUCCUGAUGCACCUCCUCUGUUUGGAGGCAACGAGGUAGGUCUUGAUUUUUUUUAAAACAAAUUUUAGAAAUGAGGGAGGAACUUUCCUCAGAUUUUAAUGAUUAUUUGAAAAAAAAAAGGAGUUUGUACACAAAGGUUGAAUAAAGUUUGAACAGAGCAAGUUUAUUCCAUUCUUUCGGGAUUUUUGUUCAUUUUUCUUUUCUUUUUUUAAGAAAAAGAGGGUCACCAUAAUUACACGGAUCUAAGUUUUUGGAGAUGCACCGUCCAAGAUUCAAACCCUGAACGUCUAAGCAAAGGGUUGUAACUUACAAUCGGGGUGAGCUCCAAUUAACUUUGUUUCAAGAUUUUAAUCUUUAUUCUUGCUUAAAAACCUUUUUUUUUUUACAUUUUAUCCCCUUUUUUUAGCUUUUUGUUCUUCUUCUCCUAUUUCUAUCUAUUAGAAAAAUUUAAUUUUUUCUGGGCCUAAGCUUGGCCCAGAGUUUUUGACCCACGCGCGCUCGCGCAUCUUAGGCUGCGCCUGGCGCUCGGCCCAUGCACGCGCUCGCGCGUCCGGGCUGACUGCGGACGCGUCCCCAAAAUACCCCUUGCUGCCUUUCUUGGGCCAAUGCUAUAAAUACCCUUCUUUUUUCCUCCUAUUGGUGUACGAAAAAAUAAGGAGAAAAAUUCUAACAAAAUUAUGAGGAAAUGUUCUUCCUCCUCUUAGCCACUUUCUGAUUUUUAUUUUUACGCCUUUAUUCAGUGAAGUUCUAUUUUCUUUUAUUUUUUUCUUUGCUGGAUUUGCAAGUUUGAUUGGGUUCGUGUUGGCUUCUUUCGAGACGUACUGAAGAAAAAGCUUAGGGUCGUCGUAUCUCUGAGGAGAAUUACUGGAAGAUCCGUACGUGGGGGCAAAUACUUCUUUGGGACAACGUCUACGAGCUUCGACCUGCCUUCAUUCAGACUAUCUUCUUUUACCUUUAUUUCAAAUUUAAUAUUAGUAGAACUGUAGCAUUUAUAAUUUAUGAUUUAAAUUUAUUACAUGUUCUAAAGAAUAGAUUUUUUUGUGCUAAAAUAGAUUUUUUUUGAUUCCAAAUAAUAUAUAUAUUGCUAACAUUUCAAAGAAAUAUUUGUUUUUUUGUUAGUAAUAUAUAAUUCAUUAAAUUCUCUAUUACAAUUGUGAUAUAUUAGAUCUUAAUUAUAAUUGUUAUUUUGCUACCACAAAAUUAGUAAUAAAUUAUUUUAAUAAGAUAAUAAAUUAUUUUAAUAUAUAAUUCAUUGAAUUCUCUAUUGCAUUUAUGACAUGUUAGAUCUCAAUCAAUAAUUGCUUUGCUAGCACAAAAUUGGUAAUCAAUUAUUCUAAUAAGAUAAUAAAUUAUUCUAAUAUAUAAUUCAUUGAAUUUUUUUUAUUGCAUGUGACAUAUUAGAUCUCAAUUACAAUAAUUGUUUUGUUAGCACAAAAUUAGUAAUCAAUUAUUCUAAUAAGGUAAUAAGUUAUUCUAAUAUAUAAUUCAUUGAAUUCUCUCUUACAUUUGUGACAUAUUAGAUCUUAAUUACAAUAAUUAUUUUGCUAGCACAAACUUAGUAAUCAAUUAUUCUAAUAAGGUAAUAAUUUGUUUAACCUCCAAGAGGUUUAUCAUACCUCAUUUGGACUCCUCAAAGAGUAAUUUCCAGAUCCCAUUCAAACGGAAAUUCGAAAAUUGGUUAAUCUAUAAUAACUAAUUUAAGUUUGCACUUAGGCUUUUAUAAAAGUUGAAUUUGUAUGAUGUCUAGUGAUUACAUCCACUAACUAAUAGUAUCAAAGAAAAACUUGUCAAAAAGGUAUAUGUGCCUAAGAAAGACUGGUAUUCAAGUGAGCCUAGUACUUCACCACCGAUCUGGAGCUGAUCUGGCUAUUAUUUUUUGGAUAUAUUAACUAGACAUCCAAAGUUCAAUAUAAAUAUUGGUGCAAUCCUUUGACAUAAACUUUUUGCCUUCAUUUAGGUUACUGCCUCUUUUCUGUAUUCUAUAACCUUGAACCUAUAGUCUCUAACAUUAGUAAGUAACUUAGCACCAAAUCUGAAAAAUUUGAUGACCAUAACUUUAGGAGGUGACAGAACCAAAUGCGGUUCUGGCUCACCACAUUAAUAUUGAUCUCAGCCAUAGGUGAGAGCACUACUAAAGUUGAUAACGGGUCUAACCCAACUGCUUCACGACCUGCUACUCGCUGCUCCUCCCAGACUGAACCUUCUAUCUCCACCAGCACACCCUUCAGGAUACCUGAUGAGAUUGACUAUCAUUGCAUCCAUAGAAUCCUAGGUGCCCUUUCUAAGAGGCUGUAUGAUAUUUAUUACACAACCAAGAGUGCCAAAGAAUUAUGGGACACCCUAGAAAGCAAAUAUGGUCCUGAUGAUGCUGGGGUAAAGAGGUUCAAGACCUUCGACUUCAAUAACUUUAGGAUGGUGGACUCAAAGCUUAUGAAUGACUAACUCCAUGAUUUUGAAAUCCUGAUCCACCAGCUUAGGGCUAAUGGAACCAAUUUGGAUGAAUCAUUCCAGGUAGCCUGUAUGAUAGAUAAACUACCUAAUUCUUGAUCUGACUUUGCUAAGACUCUGAGCCAUACCCAAGGAGGUUUCACGCUAACCCAAGUUUUGAACUCUAUUAGAAUUGAAGAGCAACAUAGGUUUAGGAGUAAAAUCUCUACUGGACACAAAAAUAAUGCUUAUAAUGUAGAGGCCCCACCUAAGAAAAAUUAGAUCCGACCCUUCCGUCAUAACCAAAAUAAGUAUUUCAAAAAGAAAUCCUGCAACCCUAGAAACCCUAACCACCACUACAAUGGAAAACCUAUCCAAUCCCAGGAGCAGAAGAAGAAGAAAGAGGAAGGCAGUGGUCGUUUCUAUUUUGUGUGUGGUCGAACUAACCAUUUGUCUCCCCAGUUCUUUUAUAAGAAAACUGCACCUCUUCAAUCCAAGAAGAAAGGUCCGAACACAACUAGUGCUCAAGUCAAUAUGGUGACUUCCGACGCUGGCUCCUCUGAGACUAUUUUCAGGUUUGUUUCUUCACUCCUGAAGUUAACAUGACUUUACAAGCACUUGAUUGGGGGAUUGAUAUCGGAGCUGGUAUUCAUAUUUGUUCGAAUCGCUCCUGGUUUUCUUCUUACCAGGUCUCAAGUGAAGGAGCUGUGAUCAUGGCAAACAGCUCGGAGGCACGUGUGCUAGGAGUGGGACAUGUGAACUUAAAACUUACGUUUGGAAAAGUCCUGUCCCUGCACGGCAUCCAACAUGUUCCAGUUGUUAGGAAAAACCUUAUUAGUAGUUUCUUGCUUGUCCAGCAAGGCUUUCAUCUUAUUUUCGAGUCCAAUAAAGUUGUUAUUUCUCAUGGUGUGAUGUUUAUUGGAAAAAGAUUCCUCAGUGAAGGAUUGUUUAAGUUGAAUGUUAUAGUUCCUUCAAUGAAUUAAAAUCAUUUGAUUAUGAAUAUAGAACCUCCUUCUAUUUGGUAUGGUAGAUUAGGUCAUGUAAAUUAUAAUUCAAUUAAGCAACUUAUGAAUAUAAGUUUAAUACCAAAAGUUGAUCUUAAGAAGCAUGAGAAAUGUGAAAUUUUAUGUCGAAGCCAAACUCUCUAGGAAGCCUUUUAAAUUUGUUAAUAGGGAUUCAGAUCUAUUAGAGUUGAUCCAUAAUAAUGUUUGUGACUUUGGUAGAACUUCUAAAGGAGAUAACAAAUACUUGUGACCUUCAUAGAUGAUCUAUCUAAGUUCUGUUACAUCUACCUAAUUAAAACCAAGGAUGAAAUGCUCAACAAAUUUAGAAUUUUUAAUAUCGAAGCUGAGAACCAACAAGAGAAGAAAAUUAAAACUCUUACAUCAGAUCGGGGAGGUGAAUAUACAUCUAAUGAUAUAACUCAAUUUUGUGGAGAUCAUGGAUUCAUUCAUGAAGUGACUGCUCCCUAUUCUCCUCAAUCAAAUAGAGUAGCAGAAAGAAAGAAUAGGACUUUAAUGGAUAUGGUUAACUCCAUGCUCAUAAGCUCAGGAGUACUAGAGAAUUUGUGGGAGAAAGCUCUAGUUUCAGCCUAUUAUAUCCUCAAUAGGAUUUCCUCUAAAAAUAAUGAUCUUACCCUUUAUGAAGUUUAGAAACAUAGAAAACCUAAUCUUAGCUAUUUGAAAGUGUGGGGGUGCUUGGCAAAAGUGAACAUACCUGAUUUUAAAAGAAAAAAAAAGGACCUAAAACAGUGGACGUCAUAUUCAUAGGAUAUGCAACCAAUAGUAAUGCCAAUAGAUUUCUGGUGAUUAAUUCAGAAGAAAAUGAUAUUAGUAACAACACUGUCAUAGAAGUCAGAGAUACAAUAUAUUUUGAAAAUACCUUUCUACUUAGGACUAGAGUAGAUAGUGGUAUAGCUAGUAGCUCUAGUAGAAUAACUUUAAGAGAAAUAAAAGUAGGAGCAGAAUUUAGGAGUAAGAGAUCCAGGGUAGAGAAAAAUUUUUGGAAAUAACUUCUAUACUUUUCUUAUAGAGGACUCUCUAACUACUUUUGAGGACGCAAUGAAAUUCUUUGAUUCACCUUUUUGGAAAGAAGCUUUGGACAAUGAGAUAUAGUCAAUUAUCCAAAAUCAUACUUAGAAACUGACUGAUCUUUAUUUUGGCUGUAAAACUAUAGGGUGCAAAUAAAUCUUUAAGAAAAAACUUUGACCUGAUGGCUCUGUAGAUAAAUUUAAGACUAGAUUAGUUGCCAAGGGUUUUACUCAGAGGCUUUGAUGUCUAUGCACCUAUAGCUAGGAAUACUACUAUUAGGGUUCUGAUAGCAUUAGCCUCCAUCCAUAGAUUAGUGAUUCAUUAGAUGGAUGUGAAAACAACUUUUCUAAAUGGAGACUUAAAUGAAGAAAUUUAUAUGGACCAGCCAGAGAAAUUUAUAAUCCCAGGCCAAGAAAAGAAAGUUCGUAUAUUAAUCAGAUCUCUCUAUGGUCUUAAACAAGCAUCCAAGCAAUGACACUUGAAAUUUGAUGAAAUAAUACUGAUAUGUAGAUUUGAAAUCAAUAGUACAGACGAAUAUGUAUACCAUAAGAGAGGUGGAAAUAAAUUUGUGAUCUUGUGCCUCUAUGCAGAUGAUAUACUGAUCUUUGGGAUAGAUCUUCAAAUAAUUGAUGAAGUAAAGCAAUUAUUAUGUCAUAAGUUUGAUAUGAAAGAUUUGGGAUAAGCUGACUUAAUUUUAAAUACCAAAAUAAUUAGAAAUACAAAUAGAAUUGAGUUAUUCCAAAGUCAUUAUGUUGACAAGAUUCUCAAUAAAUUUAAUUAUAUCGAUUAUCAACCUGUCUCUAUUCCCUUUGAUCCCUCUACACACCUUAAGAAGAACUUAGGAAUUCCUAUCCUUCAAAGCCUAUAUGCUCAAAUCAUAGGCUUACUAGAAUUCCUAGCAAAUUACACCAGGCCAGACCUAGCAUAUGUUGUAAAUAGACUUAGUAGAUAUACUAUUAAUCGAAAUAGAGAUCAUUAGACAGUAUUAGAGAGGAUCCUUAGGUAUCUUAAGGGUACCAAGUCCUAUAGUUUGCACUUUAGUGGGUUUCCUGUUGUUCUAGAAGGCUAUAGUUAUGCUAACUGGAUCAGCGAUACCUUAAAUAUUAAAUAUACCAUAGGAUAUAUCUUUUUCCUAGGAGGUGCUGCUGUAUCUUGGAAAUCCACCAAACAAACCUUGAUAUCUAGGAGUACUAUGGAGUCUGAACUAAUAGCUUUAGACACCACUAGCACUAAGACUGAGUGGCUCAGAGAUCUACUUAUAGACCUUCCAGUAGAUAAGUCACUUUUACCACCUGUCUCCUUACAUUAUGACUGUAAAUCUGUAAUAGAUAAGUGCUACCAAGAAAAUGGCAAUGUAAAAAUGAACAAGCACUUAAAAGUGCAUUAUAAAUCAUUAAGAUAUCAAUUAAAAAAUAAUGUAAUAGCUUUGAAUUUCAUAAAAUUCAAAAAUAAUUUGGCUGAUCAGCUUACAAAAGGUUUGUCUAGAACAAUAGUUCUAGAGUCGUCGAGGAGGAUAGGGCUUAACCCGUAAAGAUAGAUCACCAUGAUGGGAACCCAACCUUAAAAGGUUCAAUGGGUAGAAACAAACUAUAAUGUGACUAAGAGGAACACUGUUUUAUAUUUUCCUCAUUCCUAUGGCACUAGUGCUCAUAAAAGCAAGAGGUAGGAUGAGUUUGUUUGCAUAACUCUUAAUGAGUCCGAGACUCAAGAGGUAGGAGCUUCCUUGCUAGCUCCCUUAUUAGGACUCACCUAUAUGUGUUGUCGUGAGGCCGCGAUUAUGGAAAAUAGGUGAUUUUCUAAAAAGCACAUGACAGAUACCUGUGCAUAGUCAUAUUAGCGCAACCCGCUUAGAACCCAAAUCGGGCUAUAUUAUGUGUGCUGUUGAUUUAAUCUGAGUCAUGGACCGAGGUUUAAGGUUAAGACCACUUUGGCUCUACAUAUGUAAUCAAUUGUCACUAAGUGAAGCUUCAAACCGAAAGGUACGUAUACCUAUUACAUAAUAUAAGAUAUCUAAUAUUUUGUUUUGAUUUUAAAAUUAUUUCAAAAUUAAUUUUUGUGGGGGAUUGUUAGAAAAAUUUAAUUUUCCUUGGGCCAAAACUCGGCCCAGAGUUUUUGACCCACGCGCGCUCGCACGUCUUGGGCCGCGCCCGGCGCUCGGCCCAUGCACGCGAGCGGGCGCGCGCUAGCGCCCUCCACGGGCUGAUCGUGAACGUGUCUCCAAAAUACCCCUUGCUGCCUUUCUAGGCUAUAAAUACCCCUCUUUUUUCCUCCUAUUGGUGUAUGAAAAAAUAAGGAGAAAAAUUCUGGAAAAAUUCUGAGGAAAAGUUUUUCCUCCUCUAAGCCACUUUCUGAUUUUUAUUUUGGCGCCUUCAUUCAACGAAGUUCUAUUUUCUUUUUAUUCCUUUCUUUGCUAGAUUUGCAAGUCUGAUCGGGUUCGUUUUGGCUUCUUCCAAGACAUACCAAAGAAAAAGCUUACAAUCGUCGUAUCUCUGACGAGGAUUGCCGGAAGACCCGUACGUGGGGGCAAAUACUUCAUUGGGACAGCGUCUAUAUACUUCGACCUACCUUUAUUCAUGCUAUCUUUUUUUGCCUUUAUUUCAAAUUUAAUAUUAGUAGAUCUGUAGUAUUUACAAUUUAUGAUUUAAAUUUAUUACAUGUUCUCAAGAAUAUAUUUCUUUUGUGCUAAAAUAAAUUUCUUUUGAUGCUAAAGAAUAUAUAUAUAGAUUAUUCCUUUUAAGAUUGUUCUAUUAAUUGUUAUUAUAGUUUUUAUUUACUUAUUUAGAAUAUAUAUAUAUAUAUAUAGAUUUCUUUUGAUGCUAAAGAAUAUAUUUAUGAUAUAAUAAUAUAUUAUGAUAUGAUAUGAUAUAAGAUGUGAUCAUAAGAUUUGUUGGAGGGCAUUUUGGUCAUUAAAAAAUUUAUUAAAAUUAAAACAGUUUUCUAACUAAUGUUAGAAAGUACUUUUGGAGAGAAGCUCCAAAAAUAUUUUUAGCUUUUUUGCAAAGUCAAAACAUCUUUCUAAUUUUUUAUCAAGCGCUAUUAUAUUAUUUAAAAAUAUUUUUAGAAAAUCAAAAAAUAUUUUUUGGUACUUCAAAGUUCAAAAGCCCCACCAAACGGUCUUUAAUGGCUUAUUGGCUUUUGUUUCUUUUUAGAGCCUCAUAGGUCAUAUCAAAAUCCCCACCAAUAAUCCAAGGUCCAGAAAAAAAUGCUCUAAUCUGCUUCAACUCUCUCUAGAACACUUUCUUUAAUGCAUGAUCCCAGGCUCAUACACGACAAGGAGCAUCCACGUCAUAUUGAGAAUUCUACCAUUCCACAAGAUUGAGAUAGAGAAUCUCUUAACCUUCUGUCUUGACACCACAAACUUAAAGUUAUUCCAAUCCAAUAGAAUUAGGGGUGCAAAUGGGUCGGAUCGGAUCACGAGGAAUCCCGACCCAACCUAGUUUCUUGUUUGGAUCGUAAUUUUGGAUCUAUACCCAAUCUAAUAAAAGAUCGGGUUGGAUCGAGUUGGGUUCACCACCAUAAUUUUUGACCCAAUAGAUCAUUCGGGUCGGAUUGGGUCUAUGCAUAAUCUGGACUCAUUCUAAAAAAAUUGGAUCCAAUUCGAGUUUGGGGCGAGUCUAGUUCAAGCCAACCGAAUUGCAGCCCGUGAGCGUAAAUAAUUUUAUAGAUUCAAGUUGAGUCAGGACAGGACGGAUCGUAGGAUUGAAAAUCUAAAAUUAUCUAAAUUUCAAAUAAAUCAUGUUGGAGCGAGUCGGAUCGGAUCUGAAUUCAAUAAAUUCAGGCCCGUUCCAAAAAAUGGAGCAAGUCCAAAUUUAAGACCCGACCCGAUCCUACCUUACAAGUCCUUCAAAAUAAAUCGGAUUGGAUCUAAGCGAGUCGAAUUGAGGCAUAAAUCAAUCCGACCUAUUUGCGGCUUAAACAGAAUGUCUCUAGCUGAUCCUCUUCGUCCCUAGGCACCCAGCUGUUAGUUUGGCCCCUAGGUAAGGGCUUAGAAUAGUUGGAGAAGGAUUGCUCAGCUUAGGUUCUCUGUCCCGCAGUACAGCAACCACUUGAUAUAAUCAAAUUCCUAACCACUCUCCUCUUGGGAGGGAUCAGCUGAUCCCAGUGCUUAUUGUGGAGAACAUCGUUAAGCAACAUCACGACAAAUAGAGGAACGACACGUCUCGCUGCCCGGAAUCAAGCUAGAAUGGAUGACGUGUCAACUCCUGAUUGGCAGUUACCAUGUGACAUGUAGUGCGGCAAAGGUGAGCCCUGCCUGGGGCAUUUCCGUAAUUUAAUCCAACAUCCAGUGGUAUUCCACUCGGCAACAAAAGAUCCGAGAUGUGCCGACGGGAGACAGCGCCACGUGUGCGGGACCCACAUAUAAAUCUGUCCACUGCCUUCCACGUAAUAAUCAUAAGAAACUAAUAAUAUGUUUAUAUUAUUACAUCCAUUGUUCUUCCUUUUUCUUAUAUCCAUGGUCUUUCUCCUCCCCUCUUCUUCUGCUUCGCUAAUUUCUAGGGUUUGCGGUCCCCUCGCCUUCCGAUCUUUCCCCAUCCCCGAUCCCAACGCUAAUCCCGAAGACGUGGCCAUAGGAAGGUACGCUUUUUCUAGCAAUUCGCGCUCUGAUCUUUAUGUUUGAGCUUUUUCCGAGAAAUUUCGUUGGGUUUUCAGUGGAGUCACCCGCGUUUUUAAUUCCUUAUGGGCGGAGGAAUUCGGGAUUUUGAUAAAAGCUGGCAUUGAGAUUUGAAGAAUUCUAUUGUGGAUCUUUGUAAAUUGUGCUAGGUUUAAGUUGUUGUGGUAGGUUGAGUUAAUGGAUUUGAAGGAGGAUAAAUCGAAAUCUAUGUUGGAGGAGGUGGGAGAGAGGAAGAAGAGUGAAACCCUAGGAAAGAUGGCACCUUCAGUUGGAAAUAAGGUGGAGGUCAAUGGCGAUAUUGGUCCGGAGGAACAUAUUAAGAACCAUUCCCCGGUUGAAACAGGGGGUGCUGAUGGAGUUAGGGAGGAGAUAGGGAGCGUGUCUUCUUCUGAAGCAAUUUUGUUGUCUCCGGCGGAAGCAAAAGUGAACGGGGAUGGAGUUGGAGUGGGGCAUACGGCUGGUUCGCUGUCAAGGACAAUUGUAUCUCCUCCAAUUGCUGCUUCUGAGGUGGUGGCAUCGAAGCCAACGCCUACGAAGGGGUAUGGAUUAAAGAAAUGGAGGAGAAUAAGGAGAGAUUUGAAUAAGGAUGGAACGACUGGUGCUGAUUCUGCUCAGAUUCUUAAACGCAGGCUUCCGCUCGUGGAGACUCAGAAGGCUCGGGAUGAGCACAAGCAGAAGAGUGAUGGUGAGGAUGAAGGCGAGGGUUCAGUGGCUUCUAUGGAGUCGAGGAAUGCCAGAGGGUCUCCCCUUGCAGUUGCUGGUGGCACUUUGGACCCGGAGCUUGGACUGUUGGUGGCAGCUGCUGGCUUCUCUAUUGGCAUGGAUUCUGAGAAUAGUGAGGACCGAAGCAGCAAGUCUUCAACGGCUGCAAGUGCUCCAAGGCUUAGGCAUGAAGCGGUUGGAUUUGGGAGGGAGAGAGGCAAGGUGAAAAAUUUCGGUGGGAGAGGAUCAGGGAAUGUUGUACAACAAAGGGGUCAACGGGGGAGAGGGGGUGGCUUAGAUAACAUCAAGAAGUUUAGAGGAGAUCAGGUUAGAAUUGAGAAGGAGAAUUCACAUUCUAGUGCAGAGUCUGACUUGAGAAGCUCUAAUGCAGCCUUUGUGCAGAGGGGCAGCAUGGUUAGUAAUGGAAAGCAGAGUGAGAAGUCAGUAAAUUAUGAUGGAGAGAACAGUGAUGAAGCUCAGCCCAGUGAGGAAGUCCGAUCAGCUUACCAUAAAGAGAAUGGGGUGAUUGAAGAUUUAUCAAAGGAAGAUUUAGAUGCUGAAUUAUUGGCAGACAAGAAUGUUGAAAAAAGCGAGAGCCAUCAAUCCCACCCAAAUCUUGAUCCUUUUGUUGAGUCACUUGUUUUGCUUGAGGCAGCUCAGCAAGCUCUGGAAAGCGGUACAGCUUGUAUCUCUUUAUUUACCUUUUUUUUUAGCAAAGAUUAGGCACUGCCCUUAUUUGCUGUUUUCAUGUACAAUGAUUUGCAUCUCUCUUUUCUGCUCUGUUAUUUCAUACUAUAGUUGCUCUUUUAGACGGCAUACUUUCUUCUGUUGUAGAUCAUGUUGUAGACAACGAUGAAAUUGAGUUGCCGAUAGAACAGUAUAUAAAAUGUAGCAUUUGUUUCAUUAUUUAUCCGCUUUCCUCAUUGUGCUAUAGUGGAUGAAGUUAUGGACUGAAGUACUGAGAAUUGACAGUAUUUAGGUUAUCAGACAAGAAGCAUUGGUUUUCUUCAGCGAUUUCAGAACUUGCCCGUGAAAUGUUAAGAAAUAUUUGUUAAUCACAAUACUAUCAUCAUAAAUUUUGAUAACUAUUUCUAACUUUGCUGUCAAUCAUAUUUGGCAAUAUAUUUCAUGACAAGAAGAUUGAAUGUUGUUUCAGUUUUUACCUGAAAAGUUGGGCACCUGGUUAAUUUUGCCAGACCCUUGUUUUGUUAAAACACUUGAACUGAUAUUAUAUCUAAUUUUGUAGAAGAAUAUAGUUCUCGCAUUUCAUGUAUGCUAUUACAUGCAUUUAUGUAUGUAUAUAUGCAUGCAUGCAUAUAUGUGUCUGUAUGCGAUUGAUCCUUUUGUACUAUGUGAGAAUCUUUUGUCCUUUCAUUUUAUGCCUUACAGAAAAUUUUCUCGUAAAGAAACAAGCAACAUAAGAAAGAUUGUUGCAUCACAUCUGGUGAGGAUUUGGAAUGCUCAGUAAUCAUGAAUUGCAUUUUCAUUCACUUUGUCAUGAUAUUUUGCUGGGUCAAAUGCCUUUGCUUUGCCACAUGAAAUAUUGCAAUUUCUGAUUUUUGGGACGGAGAAGUAGUUUUUGCACUCUUUUGAACAAAACAUUAGAGAGAGUUAUCUUGAUUUUUAUCCAAGUCAUGUAAUGUUUUCAUGCUGGAAUUGUAGGUUCAAAAUUGAUGAGUAUAAUUAGCUCAUCUAUGAUGACCAUCUUGGUGAGCAUUUAUGCUCAUGCUUUAUGUAUGCUAUUGCUGAAUGUCUGAAUAUUUUAAUGAGUAUGUGUCCAUGCAUGGUUUAAUGGACACAUGCAUGUUUUUAGAAAAGUUGCUGCCAAGCUCCUGGACAAGCUAUUUGUUUCAUCUUCCAAGUUCUGCCCUGAAACCUUGCACACAAAAUGAAAAAGUAACCCAAAGACAUACAUCUCCAUAAAAUAUUUGGACCUCUCUCCUCUCUCCUCUCUCUCUCUCCUCCCCCCCCCUCUCUGUGUGUGUGCCUGCGUGUGUAUGCCCGUGCCUGCGUGUGUAUUUCUUUCUUGCACUAAUUCAUUCACUCACACAGUAAUGUUCUAGACUAAAAACUAAAAAAGUAUGUGUUUCUAUCAGAAAAAGGAGUCUUUUGAUCAAUACUAAGAAAAAAAUCUCUGAAAGAACACGAACUUUCUCUUGAUCACAACCAUCAAUGAUCCUCUUUUCAUUUACAUUUAUGAUUAGUCCUUUCCAAAAUUAAUUAGAUUAUAAAGGCCGUCUCUAAUAUAUGGUCAAAUCCAUUCAAAAUCCUCAUGGCAUUGAGAUUGCAACCUUUCAGUAACCUUCCAAAUCAUCCUUCGCUACUUGGAAACUCCACUAAGAAUCUAUGAGUGUUGUAACCUUUGGACUCUCUGAUAUGACCACUCCCCGGUAUUCAAAAUGGAGUGUCAUAAGUAUGUUUGCUUGAAUUGUUGACACUGAUGAUGAUUUUUGGGAUGUCAAUGACAUGACUUAUGUUAAAGGAUGUUAAAAGGACAGAAAAGUGCAAUGAAUGAUACUUCUGGUGAAGUAUGAAAAUAACUCUUAUUUUGAAUAUAACAUAAUAAAAUUUGAUAUUACUGAGUACUAUUGACUAGUCAACUGGCUAUACUAUUAGCAUAUUAGAUAUAUAUUAUUAUUUACCUUUUUGAAGGACCUUUGGAGGUCCAAGUGAUUGGUACUUAGGACACCUUGAAACUUAACAUUGUUAUCCUACUUAAUCAAGUCCUUCCUCGAAUACUUCACAACCGCAUAAUACUUUUUUAUUAGUAGUCCUUGUAUGACCUAAGGUAUAUGUGCUGUAUGUUGUAUAAGCUAUCAAAUAGGUGAUGGUGCAAGGUGCAAAUUUACACAUGGAAAUCAGAGAAUUCAUGAAGUGUGCUAGCAUUUGUUAACUUUACAUCAUUUCAUUCUUAUCACCAUGCAUUUGCAUGUCAUGGAUUCCAAUCAAAGGCUACUUACAAAUGCAUACUUCUAUUUACAAAUGCAUACUUCUAACCUAAAGUUAUCUUGAUUUGUCAUGCAUUUUAAUCAAAGGCUAUUUUUGAAUGCUUUCUCAAACUUCAGGUAGGCUUUUCAGCUUAUGCCUUCUUGUCGUUGUCAUCCCAUCUACCUUCUGUUGCAGUUAGAUUAGGCAUUAGAUUUAUGACUCAUCUGGAUUUCUUUUUCUAGGGUAAAAUAACAGCUGAAACCAACAAGAUCUAUCUUCUGAGCGUUUGUUUUUAGCUUAGAAGUAUGCAUUUGGGUCUCUUAGGCAAGCCACAUCUUGUGUGUGCCUAUGAUGCACAAACAGGUUUAUUUUACCCAGGGCAUCAUGGACUGAAGUUGCAAUAUGAGGAUAUAGGGAUAUCUUGUCUUUUAUAGUAAGUUAUAGGUUUAAAAUAGGCUUCCUAAAUACUUCAAUAAUUAUGGCUUAUAUACAUACUGCAAGGUCAUUCCCAAGGAUCGUGAAAACUGUUAAUAAAGAUUUCAAUUUAUUUAUUUUUUAUUUCUGGUGGACUCCAAACUUACUAUGGACUUUCUUAGGCUUGAUAUUGCUUGUAUGACCAUGGAUUCAGUCGGCAUAUCAUUCCACUCUAUGUUCCUUGAAUUAGAUCUAUAACAAUCUUGAAAUUUAGAUCUAUACUACUUGUGGAUCUGUUCAUCAAGGAUCAGUAUAUAUUAAAUUGGUAUAAUAGCAGUAAGAUUCUUAAAGUAAAUCCAUGUCAUAUUUUUUGCCAACAUGUCGAUGGAUGACAAAUCCCACAGUGAGAUCCAACAAUGUGAUAAGAGAUCUGAUUAGCUGCAUUGUAUUAUUACCUGGAUGUAAGAGCAAAUUGAUGAGAAAGAAAGGUGAAGAGUUAAUGGUUAAAUGAUUGAACAGACUAGUUCAAGGAACUGAAGAUUAAUUAAUGAAAAAAGAUCAUUCAUACCAGCGUCAAAGAAUAAAAUUGUUGAAGAUCAAACAAAUGACAAGUUGAUAGUACCAAAUGGAAUAUCAUUAGAAGAGCCAUUAGGAAGCAUGGCAGCAAAAAUAGUGUUCUAUAAUGGUAAAGAUUAAGAGAUCAACUCAUCUUUCAUCAAAGAGUAUGAAGAUCUGAUUGAAGAACUGUCAUUACAUUUGAACUGAUUAUUCACAUUUCCCUAGGAUCAUGAUAGCAUUUCAAUUCUGGGAUGAUUACAAAGUUUAAUGAUUUGAAGAAUUCCUUGGUGUCUGUCUUAAAGAUCAGCCAACAUGUUCAGUGGUUAGGUUUGACCAUUUCCACGGUUUCUCUGUCCGUUCUCAUGCAGACUUGAAAUUGAUUACAGCAUUUGAUUUUGGCAAUCAAAAAAUGAAGCAUGUAGUUAUUCAUAAAUAUCCAUCCCUGCAAUUGUAACUCAUAUCUAGCAUUACUUAUAGAAAGUCAUAUUCACAGUAUUUGAUUAUGUAUGUAAAUCUAAGUGUGGAGCAUGUGGCUGUUCAUAAAUAUCCAUCCCUGUGAUUGUAUCUCAUAUCUAGCAUUACUUGAGAAGUCGCAUUCACACAAUUUGAUUAUGUCAAUCUGAGUGUGGAGCAUGUGGUUAUUCAUAAAUAUCCAUCCCUGCAGCUGUAACCUAUAUCUACCAUUACUUAUAGAAAACUAUAUUUACAUAAUUUUUAGGACUAGACAUAAAGGCUCAAUCUGCAUCAAACUGUUAGGGCUCAUUAUGUGUUUGCUGCAAGGUUCGCUGUCACGGUACUGUACCCCGUACAAGUGCCACACUAGUACUGUAUCGGUAAGUACGGUACGAAAUCUUUUUGGCAUACUGAGCGUCGGUACAGUAUGGUAUGCCCCGUACCACCUGGUUCAAGCCGGUACAGAAAACCAUGAUUUGCUGUUUUUUGACUAUAUUUUGUUGGUAUCAUGCUCAUUACUUUGCUUGGUACAAGUCUCAAGCUUUCUCCGGCAAUUCAUCUCUUAUUUUCUUCUCGUUCCUACUUCCUAGCUUUACUACACAUAUAUGUGCUCUUCUGUUAUGAUCCUCUAAUGCGCUUGUGCAUGCUAAGUGUCUUAAGAUAUCUAUUUCAUCAAGAUAUCUAUUUCAUAGGACCUUGUAUCUCAUAUUAUAAAAUUUUCUGCAAGCAUCUUACUCUCUUUUAUUGAAGUCUUUCUCUAAUACAGCAUUAGCUAGAACAUGUGGUACUGAAUUGUUAGAUGACUGGUCAAAAAGGACUUCAGGCUUGACUGAAGUUAGCUGGUUCUGCAAGAUCCUUAUGUCAUAUUAAAUAGCAAUGUAAGAAAGUCGUUGUUUAGAUCAACAGUUGCAAACUUAUCGGUAUAUGAUGCUAUGUGUCAAGCUUUUUUUAUAUGAUUCUGAUUUCUAAGUUAAACAGAUAGUUGUAGUUCAUGCUGCUUUAAGUGUUAUAUUCUAUUACUACGGUUAGCUUUUAGGUUGAGACUAUGCCAGCAAUGAACAGAACUCUGUAAUUGCUUGGAAUAUUUUAUGAUUUGCCUGUGUUUGCACAAAGGACUAUGCUUCAUCACAAACUGAUCAUUUUUGUCUGUUAUGUUGUCCCUGUUCAGAAAUUGAGAAAUUCGGAGAAAUUGAGGAACCAGGCCUUGAUGACUUUGAUGAUGAUUAUGAAGAAGUGGAAGGUAGUAGUUCCCCAUCUCCUGAAGCUGAUUCAAUCCAAUUGAAUCAAAGGAUCGAACAACUUCAGUAUAAACUGGAAGAAGCAUUAGCAGCUGUCAGGUCUAGAGAAUCAAAGGUGCUUGAACUUGAAGCAAUCCUCAACAGAACUGAGUUGCCAAGAAAGGAAAUAGAGAACACUGAUCCACCAUUACUUAAAGAGAAGUGCAAGGAGAUGGAGUUUGAACUUGAGAGCCUGCUUGAGAAGAAGAUAGAGAUAGAAAUCGAGUAUUUGAUCAUGACAAGAGCUACUCGAAGCUGGAAAGUCAUGGCAGAAGAUCACAUUGCUCUCCUUGAGGACCAGAAGUCUCUUGCUGGGGAUCAAAUGCAGCUUAUGCAUAAGUUGAGAGAUACUGAGGUUAAGGUGACCAUGUUGACAGGGCAAAUGGGGGAAUUAGAGGCUUACUGUGCAGAGCUGGUAGGGGCCGAAGAGGUCUUGCGGCUGCAGAAUGAAGUCCUUAAGUCUUCUCUCUGUUGCUUUGUUCAGCUGGUAACGUUGUUUAUCGUAUUUUGGUGGUUUCUCAUGCAGUUGUUGCCCCCAUCUAAUGGGGUUGUGCCCACCUAAAUUUUGAAAACAACCCUCAUGUACUUCUAUCAGUUUCAGAAGAAGUUUGUGUGUAAGAUGUUAUUAGGCAAAUAUGAAUAUAUGUGCUUCCUUCUUAAUAUUCUUUAGCAACGAGUCAAUAAAUUUGCUAAUUGCAUCACAUUUUUCCAGAACAAGUGAUUAGUACCGCUUAAUACUUGUGCUGCAAUUCCAAAGAGUUCUUUUUAUACAUUAGCAUAAUAGAUCAGCAAUUGGUUUCUUCUCUGGUACAGGUGAUUGACAUUUACCUUGCCUUGACAAACAUGCAACUCAGGUCAUUUAGUUCUACAUUUCUUUAUAGUCCGCUCUGGCAGUCUUUGCAAUGUUCUGAACAAAAUUUUUCACUGUGCUGUUUAUUUUCUCUUUUACUAUGAAGCAGAAAAGUUUGAGAACUUAUAGCUACCAACCAGUUAUAGCUGCCUUAAGGAUUUUAUAGGAGUUCUGCCCCAUGGACUUGGCUUAGAUGGUUAGGUUAUAUGCCUAUUCUGUGAUGGUCAUCAAAACUUCCAAAAUGCUGCAUCUGGGAUGCUGAGCUAUACAAUUUUUAGAGCAAUCUUCUUUUGCUGCGAUCUUCUGAUAAUGUUCCAUAUGCACUUACUGGUUGAUGUAAAGGUAGGAAUAGAACCUGCCAGCUACCGUGUUCAUCUCAGCUUCUAUCCCAGUUUAAUCCUCAUGGUGCUCAGAAGAACUCUAACAGGGCAGGUGAUAAGGAACUUUUAACCUUCUUCAGCUUUCUUAUUUGAUAUGCAUUCCCCGACAUGUAUCGAAAGCAGAUGCCGGCGCAUGUGACAUAAUGGCUGGAAGGUUUCAUGGCACAGCAGAUGGCAAGACAUUUUUCAAGACAACAUCCAAGGCUUUGUUAAGCAAAGGUCUUAUACUGAACUGAACAGUGGAAGCUUGUUGAUCUAUAUGGUAAUAUGUCCAAAUUUGCCCAAUUGAUGGUGCUUGAACAAUUUCAAGCCGUUAUUUCAUUCUAGAGCUUAUGUGUGAGAUUCGGUCCAAGGCAUGACCAUCAAUUACCAACAUAGCCGACCGCUAUCCACAUUAUGAUCGUAUGCAACUAUGAGGGUCAUCUGGGAGUUGUUUUAGGUCUUCUUGCUUAUCCUCAGUAGAUAUGCUUGCAGAUAUAGUUUAUUAACCGUAAGCCAUCAAUGGUGGCAACUUGCACAGCGCAACUAUUUAGGACUAAAAUUAGAUCAGAUACUAGCAUAUUCAUAUUUAUUUAUAUUUGUUUUAUUUGACGAAUAUAGAUACGCAUUUUAGUGUGGCUAUUUAUUUAUUUUAAAAGUUCAUAAGUUCUAUAUGGGUUACAAAUGGAAUCAGAUAUCUAUAUUUUUUUUUAAUGGAUAUUGAUAUAGAUACAAAUAUUAGUCAAAUGCUCAAAUUUUUAUCCAUAUCCAUAUAGAUUUGGAUAUAAAAAUGCUUCCAAACGGAGAUUAUUAGAUCCGCUUUCACCCUUACAACUACCCCAUCCUUUGCUUUUAUGUUCGUGUUGCAUUGUUGUGACCAUUCAGUGAUGGACCUUAUCAGUGGCUCCGUAUCAAGAGACCAUCUCUGCUCUCUUUCUACUUGAGAAUUUAGCCACUGUUCUUUGAACGCAAGCACUGUUAAGAUAGGAACUUAUGAAAUGAUCAAUGAGAAUUAUGUUUGCAGAGUAAACCGUUUAUAAAAGUGAAUUGGUAACUCAGAAAUGUCACUCAAAAAUCUCAGUUUUGCAGCUUUCCAAAUGUUCUUUCCAAAUUGACAUCACUUGUUUUUCUAGUGAGAUUUCUAAGAUAUACUAGCAUUGAUUCAUUUUAUAAAUAAAAGUAGCCAAUAUGCCAUUUCUUGCUCAUUAUGCACAUCAAUGGGCAUAUCAACUGGCAAAUGGCAAUCCAUACAUGCCUCCCGAGUUCACAUGACUGCAAGCAGUUAUCGAUCGAAUCUAGUCAAAUUUUUGUAAUGUUAAUUACAAUCCAUGGAUCUUUUUUUUCUUUUUUGAUGUAAUCCAUGGAUCAUUUUUAACAUGCCAUCCGGCAAUAUAGUCAAGAUGAGGGAGCUCCGAGUUGUAGGAUAGGCUUGCAUGGUGGAAGAAUAUGUUGUGCUUGCAAUAUCCCGAUCUAGAAGAAUUUCGACUUUGAUAACUGAACGAAAGCAAGGUGCUUAAGACUAUAACAGGAAGAAUGCUAGUGAUUCCGGCCUGUAGGCUAAAUUGGUUGUGGAUAAGCGUGGAGAAUCACUUAAAAUGAUGCUUCCUGAAAUUGAGUGAUAUGAGUUCAUUAUCUAAUCAAGUUAAAUAGUGCCCAGAUAUCAACUUUAAGUUGUAAUCCUGUACAUCAUUUUCACAAUAUUUGUUUCAUAGUUUUUAUCGAUGAAUCUUUCUCCAACCAGAAGAAUGUCUCAUUCUAAUUUGAAUUGUAUCUUUUAUCCUUUUCUUAGGACUGAUCCGCUCGCAAGCCUUACGCAAUCGAUUGGAUCGCAUAGAUAGCUUUUCAACAUAACAUAGGUCAUCAAAAGGAUCUUGGACAACUCAUUAAAGUACAAAAACCAAGUCAGAAAAUUGAUUCCAAUUUAAAGAGUGCAUAACCUCACGGAUGAGCUCACACCAACCCGUUGAUUUUGGAUCGUAGCAAGUUUUUGAUGCUGAAAUGAAUGGCAUUCCGAUAGAGCCAUUUGCAGUCAAUGUUGCAUUUGAUAAUUUCCGGGCUGGGUUAACAUGAACUAGAUAUAGUCCAAACUGGGAUUUGGUCAGUCAAGCUUUAUGAAAAUCUGACUCGGUCAGACUUGGGCUGAAAAUGUGAGCCUCAUUUUGAGUCCACUUAGGUUUAUGCUAGAGACUAGAUCAAAAACUACCCCUAAACUUGAACCCCUAAUUCUGAGCAAACUUACUCCAAACCAAUCCAAACCUAAGGCAGUCAAUUGAGCUCAUUGCUAAAAUGGUAGGUCUACAUGAGCCAAUUAGGCGUUGGGUGUUUUAAUUUGUCAGGUUGGAACUCAUUGGUCCUCGACCUAUGCCAAAUUGCACUCCUCAGUGUUUUAUGAGCUUAUUUUGAUGUGAUGAGACCUGAGAAUAACUGCCAUAUUUUGUAUAACUAUGAAAUCAAAUAUCCUGAAUUUUCCAGGACCUAAAAAACAAAAAGCAGAACUAUUAAUUUUUCUAUCAUAUUCACAAUUGAAGCUAAAUAAUCUCGAUCGAUAUAAACAUAUGUAUAUUCCAGGCAAAUAAUGUUGUUAAUGCACACUCUAAACAGCUGAAAAAUCAUCUGCUCCUGCCAAAGAAAUAUGGAAUUACAUAGCGAAAAAAAAAGACCAAAAUACAUUGGCUACAAUUUUCAUUUUGCACAAGCACCUUCAAUAUCAAGCUUAAAAGAUUUUGAGAAUUUUAGAUAAAGAAAACUUGGGUACCAUAAUUAUCUACAGAUCAAAGGGUCAUCAACUAAACCUUUAAUGAAGUUGAUGCAGAUAUUUACUCCAAGAUUGCACUCGACAUUGCGUAAACUUUUUCCUCAUCGCAAGAAUUCAGGCUCCUCCGGGAAAGAUUUUAAUUGAAAAUAGGGAAGGGCAUGGAUUGAUAAUCCAGCAAUUAGUCAGUUUUUGCUAGUGAUCUCAGAUGGAAUGUCCUAUUACCUCCUUCAUUUGUUACUUAGAACAUGAGCCCAUAUAUGUGUGCAUGCACACGUGUAUGUGCAUGUAUCCUUGCGUGCAAGUGUGCGAACAUGCAUGCAUAAACUUGACUGGCAUAAAUUUUAGAAUACUAGCAAAGUCUAACUAAAUUGUAAAUUGGCCAUAGCAUUAAAUAUAUAACUAUCUAAUACAUUUCGUGCACUCGCUAUAGGAAAGCUAUAUCCCAACCUCAUAUGCUUUGUUAUUUAAGCUUUGAAUACUCACAACACCCACAGAGAGAGAGAGAGAGAGAGAAAGGAAUUCAUGUGUCCAGAAUGGAUAAGAUAAAACAAAAGCCUACACUAACAUCAUUCUAACCAUCAUCCAUAGUUCACAUUGUUUAGAUUAAUCUGAAAUGUUAAAUAGACAAUAUGUAAAAUGGAGUGGUUAGUUUUCCCUUGCUCUUAUUUUGUUGUUCACAACACAAAAUAGGUCAUAUAUAUACACACAACACACACAUAUUGAGGAACAAUGUUAAAAAGUUCACAAUGUUAGAUUAAUCUCCAUUAUCUAUGCAGGAUUACAAUGUCUUAAAUUUAAUUUUUACUAGCAAAACCAUAAAUAAAAUGGAACAACCCUUUAUAUAUAUAUAUGACCCUUACUUGAAUAACCAAAAUGGAUGGAUCGAUUGUCCAAACUCUUAAACAAACUUGUCCAAGAUGCUCCUAUCAAACAUGGAUCAGAAGGCAUCUUAGAGAACAAAGUUAUCAUAAUGGUAGCUUUUAGGAUGUCUUGGUUCAGCUGUACUGUAAACCUAAUGAGAACUUCUCUUCCAAGCAAUAGCUUCAUAUUUGGCAGCUUUAGGCAUGGAAUGUUCCCAUAACGAUGGACCACACUGACGGUCAUGGUUUAAUAUCCCUUCAAGUUCAAUACCACUUGAAAUAAAAAUCUCAGUUAUCUCUAGUGGUAUUGGAAGACAUUCCAAACUCUUAGAGAGAUGGAGCUUUAUCUUUCACAAGGAAAUAACGAAUCAAUUUACUCGACAAAGAUGUUGAAAUCCAGAGAUUUACCAUUCAAGCUUUAUUAUUUAAUAACAAGUUUAAAGCUUCUCUCUGUAUCUUUUAUGUAUGGCCACCCACACCCACUCCUUAAAGCCCAUUAAGUGGGGUAAGUGGGACACUGCAGUGGAGUACUUUCACCAAUCACCACAAACAUCAAGGAGCCAUCUGGGUUCGUAUUCUUGAAAGCUACAUGCUCAUAUAUAUAUAUAUAUAUAGAUAGAUCGAUUGACGAAAGAUAGAAUUUUCUUUUGCUUGGAUCAGUGGAAGAGGUGAUUGGAUGGGGGCUCUUGGAAGUUAAGGAGAGAGCGUGAGGAAGGUGGGGAUGGCCUCAGAGUCAAAUCAUUCGUAUAAGGGUUGCUUUCAGAGGGUCACGAGAAUAUGUCAACAAGCAGUUAAGUUCCCCUUUCUUUCACCAGAUACUUGGGUCCAAAGGUGAAGGGGGCGGACCCAUACUUUCCCACCUAAACCAACACAAACUAAAAUCCUUGUGCUGAUAUAUAUAUUGACCUCCAUUAUACAGUGUUCAGCAACUGGGACUAUGUGCAUUUGAUCAAAAGUUUAUGAACUCUGGCACAGCUCAAGACGAUCAACUUAGCUUCGAAAGCAUUUGAUAGCUGUCUGUUGUUUUUGGAGCAAGAUUUCGAGUUCUUUAGAAUACUUGUUGUUUUCUAUUUUGUGUUUGGUGUUGGUGAACAGCCUUUUAAGACAUGAUAUACCAUUGAAUAUGAUGAUUUGCUGUUGAGUUUUCUUCAUUUUCUACAGUAAUAAAUAGUGCAUAUUCCUUUGAAAUAUCUCUCUGUAAUUAUGUUUAAUUCUUCUAUAUUUUAAAAGAAAUGCAAAAUUUUGUCACGAGAAUAUUUUGCAUAUUAUGUAUAACUUCUUCUUUUUUGCUUGUUAUUGAUAAUGUUAAACUUGAUAAAAGUACCAACAAGGGUGAAACUGGAUGACCCAUAAAUAAGUAGAUUGAAACAACAGACACAUAGUAGGCUUGGAUGAGCCUUAUGACCAUAUAUACCAGUAAAAUGUUCUAAAUAAACGGCAGAAUUUCCAUCAUAUUUAUGAAAAGAUGUUUUUUUUAUAAAAAACUAGGUAUCAUGUUCCUUCGUCCAAUAAUCAAAAUAAUUAGUAGUGUGGUCCCUAUUCUUCAAAUCAUAUUAUCUAACAGAGUAACGCAUGAGAUGAAUAUAAAAUAGCAUCCACAUAAACCUCACUUAGAAUGCUUGAAGUUCCAGUAUAUACUUUUCCUGCGUCUCCCAUUCCUUUUGGUGCGUAUACUUUAUGCUUGUGACAUCCACUUCAUGAGCUAUUCUCUUGGACAGCUCCUGCACCGGGACAAAACAAGCAUUUCAAAAAAAGGGCUGUAGCUUAUGGAAUGGCAUUACUUUUUGGCAGAUAGAAAUAACUUGCCCCAGUGUCCUGUUUCUAGUAGAUACAUGUUCAAGGACAAGAAGAUUGCAUGCCAACAGAAACUAAUAGAACAACAGUGACACUGAAUACCACAAUCACCAAAUAUAGCUUUUAGUUAUCAAAUUGGUUCUUCCUCCAAAAAAACCAAAGAAAAAGAAAAAGCGAAAAGGCCACCAUUGUUCCCCAGUCACCCAACUGCUGCAUCAGAUGGCAUUUGCAGAGGCUGGGAAAAUAAGCACAAGCUUUAUGGUAAUCAAGGGAGGGGAAGAGAGAGAGAGCCAAGUUUUUUACCAGCUCCACUGUCAACUAAAGCACAAAAUUUGAUGGAGCUUUUAAUAUAGCCAACUAACCAAAACUAGAUUGAAGGUUCCAAUAUCAUCUGUUCUUCAGCCUCAAGCUUUGGUAGCUCAUUGAGGUCAAUGUCAAGCAACCCUUUGUUUGCCUCCUUAACACUCUCAGAUGAUGAUGGUGCAGGCGAGGGUGCCGGCGUCGACGGUGCAGCCGGCAAAAGUGGAGGAUGAUUCACAGGGCCAUUCCAGUGCCUCCUCAUGUGCCCACCAAGAGCCUGCCCUGUCGGGAACGAGGCAUGACAAAGGGUGCAUUGAUGCUCUGCGGUCGCAGCUCUCGGCACCGCACCCUUUGAAUCGACCAGCUCUUCGGCAUCGGCUUCCAUCCCAUCCAUGGCCACCACCUCCUCUGAAUUGUUCUUGUUCUUGUUGUGACUAGCUCUGUGACCCCCCAGUGCUUGGUGGGUAGAGAAAGACCUGUUGCAGCUGCUGCAGUGGUACCUUCUACCUCGAGUUGGUGGGCUUGCUUCGUUCGCCGCCGAUUCCAGAUCCUUGAUCCUCUUCUUCUUCACUUUUCUUCCGCAUGCCGACGGGCUGCUUGAUGCUUCUACGUUUCCAUCAUUGCCAGCCUCCAUUUCAUCAUCUUCAUUCCCAUUCAUAAGUUCAGAAUGCAUGGCAUCCUUCAGCUGCAGUCCUUUAGCCUUUGUGUCUUCCUCAUCCAUCUCAAUUCUGAUAUCAGCCAGUAUGGAUUUCCUGUUCCUAUGUCGAAGCCGAUCAAUUUCUCGCGGUAGAGUUGGUGUAGGCGCGAGAUCGUUGCCCCUCGAUAGCUGCAGCAGAAUCCUAGCCGCAUUGGAUUCAGGGUCGUUCGACUCGAUGAUACCUUUGCGACCUCUCUUCGCAGUCACCGACCACUUUGCAGCAGGAAACGCGAGGUCAGAUGAGGAAUCGAUGCCUCUUUGGAGCUUGUUCUUCGCUUCAGGUGGCCGAUUCGCUCCCCGGUAGCCCCUCUGAGGAUGGGAUCUCAGGUGACCAUAUAAUGCUUUCAAUGAAGGGAAGGUCUUCUUACACUCAGGACAAGUAGGAGGCUCCUCGGCGGCCAUGUUCGCAUCUUCAUUCUUGCUCUCGGAGCUCGCAGGGUCCUCGGCGACAGCUUUUUCUGGGACGUUCUCUUCUUCCAUUUUCGCAAGAAAUCCAUCAUCAUCUCCACGAUGGUGGUCUGGCGAUUCGAUAUGUUUAUCUCGAUCAUCUGCGAGCUCUCCAUUGGAGAUACGGUGAGCUCUCAUAUCACCAUCAGAAGCUCCUUCUAAGCUCCAAUCAGAGGAGAGCGCUCCACGAGCCACUUCCUCAUUCAGCUCGCAAGCCUUCUGACACUUGAAUCGAAUCCGAAGCCCGUUCUUCGCUAGCUUUUGUUUCGCGGCGACGGAUCCAUCUUCUGGCCCCAAUGCAGCAGCUUCACUCUGGUAAUAACUUCCCCCAUCCAUGGGAUGAGCUCCCAUUACUAGAGAACAGAAGAGCUGCUAAUCUAAUCUCUCGAGCAAGUCAAGGUAUGUGAACCGAAACAAAUCGAAAGCUUUAUCCCAGAAAACCUAACUCGCUCUUGAUUACAGGUAGCUUCCUCCUCUCUCUCCCUAUCAGUUUCCAAUAGCCCAAGAAACCACCACGAAUCCGAAAACAGGGCUUCUUAGAGAAGUUCUGCGGACAAUAAAUACAAUAAAAACUCCAUCUUUAGCGAUCGGCAAAACUGAAAACGAGCUUCUGAAAGAUCAUCCCGAGAGCUCAUCGUAUUCCCCUGGGACUUCAAAGGAAGAAUUCAAAACAGCAGCAACCGAGCUGAAGAAGGUCCGGAUUCCAGCUGAAACAGAGAAAAAGAAGCCACCUUUUAGUAUAAUCAAUUAUCGAAAUCAACAUGCAAAGAAACCAUCAAUUAAUCCGAGGAAAAAAAAAACGAUGGUGGAGAUUACCGGAUGAGCUCAGAACCGUCUGCAAAGAGAGGAAACGAGUGACACCCAGUAGAUUUCCCCAACCCCCCAGCUCAACGGAGCUAGCUUCCCACUAGAUUAGAUCCAGAAGGGAAUAGUUCGGAUGGAGGAGACUGAAAAGAGAUCGAAAGAGAGCAAAAACCGCCACCUAGAUUGGAAAAGACAGCUCCUUUGCUCCGAAGAAAGCGAGAUGGAUCGAAAAAAAAAGCUCGAACUUUUUCGGGCUUUUCCCCACCACCAGCAAUGAGAGAGAGAGAGAGAGAGAGAGAGAGAGAGAGAGAGAGAGAGCUNNNNNNNNNNNNNNNNNNNNGAGAGAGAGAGAGAGAGCUCUGGAGAGAGAACAGAGGAGGAGAAGAGGAGAGAAGAGGAAAGAGUGGCAAGAGGAAGAGCAAGAGAGAGGGAGGAGGGAAAGAGGAGAGAUGAUUUCGGGGAUCCCGGUAGGUCGUGGUCGAGGCUUCGACCCCACGACUCUCUCGCUGCCUCUUGCCAACAAUAAAUUGGCUCCCGCCAAUCACUCGAUUUCCUUUCGUGCGUUACCAUCGCGUGGGGUUUCGUUAAGGCAGAUAGAAACCGACUCCUUCCAAAUAUAGAUUCGUAGCCAUCAGAUCAUGGUAAUAGAUUUAGAUAGAUCCUAAAAUCCUCAAAGUUUUAUUUUAAAGAGAAUCCCUAUCAGUUAUUAUAAUUUCCAUCCAAUUUUCCUCUUUCUUUCCUCGUCAAAGCUUCCUUUUUGAAUUUUUCAACUUUGUAUGAGACUUUUUUUUCUUUUACAACCGCUCUUAUUACAUCUCCCUUGAAUUGAAACAAUCCAUGCCCGUAGAUUCGUCUCUCUGUUUGUAGCAUAUAUUUCAACAUCUGCUGGUUAGGACUAUUGCAUCAUAACCGUCGAAUUUGAUUAAUCGAUAUAGUUAUUUUUUUAGUACGGCCAAUAAAAUUUGUGCAUACCAAGAGCUGCACAUCAACAAUAUUGUAGAGUUGUAUACACUACCUUUAACUUGGUUCCUUGGCCAAGUCAGGAUUGUAUUGUGACAAUUAAGUAGAACUGUAUAGUUACGAAGUGCAUCUAGCAUGGUUUUGUUGGUGAUGUGAAUCAUGUAUCACUCUCUCUUUGAGUAACAAUGGCAUCUCUCUAGAAGGCACAUUCUACAUGUAACUGGAGCACUUUAGUCUUACCAUAUUGAAUUUGCAUGAUAAAUCUAUUUGUAGUGCACUACACAAAGAUGAUGAUGCAUUUGAGACAAUAGAUUUAUUUAUUUUUUUGUUUGCUACAAUGAAUGGUUUAUAUAUUUUUAGUAUGGAUGCAUCUAAAAGUCAAAAAAAUCAUAAGUCUCGGAGCACUCGGAGUGAUCAGCUACAUACGAGGCUACCCAAUCCAUGACUCACUAACCUUUUUAUAAAUUUGCCACCUACUUAUUAGUAUUUAUAGAGGUUCAUGCAUUCUUGCUUUUGUUUUGUUUUGGUUUGCUACAUAUUAAGCUUGCUUACAAUGCGUGAUGGAUUUUUUAAAUGUUUGCACGAUGCAAGGAGAUAUUCUUUUCCACGUAUACCUAGAUUAUGUUGGACAAACACAAAAGGGAUAUGCGUUUCUACGGAAUGGGAGCAAUCAAUGCACCCUUUUCUUUUCUUUUCUUUCCUUUUGUAGAAUAUGAAAAAAGAAUGUAGAAGACAAAAAGGCAAUAUUAUUAUGCAUGGUUCUAAAGUAUAUAUUUUUUAAUAUACUUUAAAAAAUACUGCCUAUUAGGAGCUUGUUGUAUAUAUUAAUCUUAUUUGCAUUAAUUAAUUACCAUAAAUUUUAAUGUCUAUCAGGAUGGUACUAAAGGAAUAUCGGUGGUAUUCAGGGAACCUAAUUAACAAUAGAAUGGCAUUUACAUAAUUAAAAUGCGGGAGAAUGAUCAUGGCCUUGGAGUUGACCAGGAAGUGAAAAUGGGAAUGGUACAGAUUAUAUAUAUGAUUUUAAUACAGUGUUCCAUUAUCGUGAAUGCCUAAUAGAAAGCUAUCAAACUCACCAUGGAAAAAUAGUAAACACAUAUAGGACAUAAACACCAAAUGAAAGUACUCAACUUACUCUGUGAUGUUCUACAAAUAGAUGUGUGUUUUUGGCUAGUGAGGAUCCAGUGAACCUUCGCAUCGCUUCGUAGAAUAGACACAAUACAGCGGAAUAUAUAAUAUAUAUAUACUAAUUAUCAACCCAAGAUACUUGCAUAGAUCUCAAUUUUAACAAAUAUUUUAUGCAUAAGAUAAUUAUGCUGUCAUAUAUAUAUAUAUAUAUUAUAUAAAACAUAAUAUAAUCUUUUUCUGGUUGAUUUUUUUUGUGAGAAUAUCCCUUGACUAAUAGUUGUAUAACAAUUAUUGAUGAUCAGCAUUAUUCAAAACUUUACGAUCAAGUAAUUGGUGGAUCGUAGUUGUCAUCUUGUCGACCUUUAAAUGUUUCCACUCCUAAGAUCCGAUUGUCCUCUUUAGAGUUACUACAAUCUAGUGAACCUUAUUUUCCGAAUAAUCUUUUAGUUUGACAACCUUACAUGUCUUUCUAAUGACAUUCACAUUCCAUAUUAAAGGUCAUUUUUUUUAUCACCAUCAAUAAAUUAACUUAUUACGGCACUCUUAACAUGUUUUUACUCCAUUAGAACCUAAAUGGGAGUUCUUUCUCUUUGUUAGUAUUUUUUUGGUUCCAAAUAACUUUAGUAAAUUAUUCAAUAUGUACUUUUUUUGAAGGCUGGAUUCACCACUAACAUCUUUCACAUGAAAGAAGGAUUCACCUUCCAUCGUGCGAAUCCACUAUUGGAUCGCAUAAUGGUUGCUUCGAGAUGUAUGCAAACAUAUGAAUGAAGAAGUUUGGAGUACUUCGAAAUUUGCAUGAGGCUUGAUCCAAUGGUCAACGUCAAACCACACCCAUAGAGUCCUUAACAGUUUUUGCCCCUUGAUGUAUUAAGAGCCUUCCUUUUGGCAAUAAUUUUCUACAAGGCUAGUUGUCUGAAAUUCAUGCAAUUGGCUCAUAUUGUAAAUUUUGAUAGGCUGAAAAGAUUUUUCCUUCUUUUAAUUUAAAAUCACUCUUCUGUUCAUUAGAUGUGGGCAGGAGUAUCCCCAAGGCGAUAAUUUCAUGAUCAUCAAUAUGUGAUGCGCUUGACCAAAAAUAAUAGGUUAGAUAGACCUUAUACAAAUGUAUUAAACUGCACCAAAAAGAUUUACACAGCCACCAUCUGGGUACAACAUUAGCAAAAAUGAAAAUUAGUAUAUAUAGCAACUAUUAUUCUUGGUUUAUUAAUAUGUUAUAGAAAAUAUUUUUCAAAGUAACCAUGUAAAGUUAUAUGAUUUUAUCUAAGGGUUAAAUUAUUAACUCGCCAUUGAGAUUUGCAGCUAGGAUAAUGAAACCCACAGCCACUUCCUUAUCACUUUGUGGGAGAAUUAUGUUCUUACCUAUUUCCCAGAUCGUACUUUAACUUUGACUUGAUUUUUACCGCCCUCAUCGAGUGAAUCAACUUCCAAGGAUACCCGCUUGAAGUUGUGUUGACUGUGGAAUCUCCAUAAAUGCCUAAACUCUAUGAAAAUAAGAUAAUUCUACUAAAUUAUAGAAAUUUUAAUUCCACCAAACUAUAGAAUUAAACACUCCCAUCAAAAAUUUCCAUUCCUGAAUUCAUGUUAUUGGUGCAAAUGAACCUCCCACCUAAAGAUCCAUUUUUUUUUGUUAUAUAAAAAUCUUCUCUUUUUUUUUUUGGUAUAACGGCGGCUGACACACAAUGAGCGUGGAUGCGACUAGCAAAAUCAGAAAACAAAAAACUAUAUAAAGGUCCUGGUACAACCUCACUAUCCAUUCAUACAAAGUCUCCAGAGUAGUGAGCCAUAAAAGUCCUUCAAGGAUGAUGAUGUGAAGAAGAUAUAGUCACAAAGCAUGCUGAUGCACAUAACCACCCAAAAUCCCCUCCAAAUUGAUGGUUUGAAAUAAUCUAAUUAAACCCCUUGGCAGCAUUUCUACGUGCAUGUUAUUUUUCUUUUAGGAAAAAAAAAUAUCGAAAAGCCUUUUUUUUCCCUUAAUUUUCUAAUAAGGCACAAUGACCUUCAUAAAAUUAGAAAUGAAUGGUGAGGUUCCUUUACAAUGCAAUUGAUUUCGGCGAAGGGAUUUUUUUUUUUUUUUGACAUGAAAGGGAGGCAAAAACCAACCAUGAUUUAUUGAGAUAGAUGGAAGUAGAGGAUAAAUCUCUUAUGGGAAGGGAAUAUUUCUGAGGAAGGGAACAUCUAAAUGGCUUUUAGAUUGUAAACUUCCAAGAAUAAUAACCAAGCAUCAGGUUGGAACUUUCCCAUCUUUUUUUUCUUCUCUUUUUCUUUGAUCCUUUGGACUGUUUUUCUAACACUGACCGGCGGACCAAACUUAGCUGCCAAGAUAUCUUUGGAUCACCGAUAAUGACCAUAUAGAUUACUUAGUCAACUUAAUUUUUAUUUAAUAUUUUAGAGUUCUCCUACCUUUGUCAUCAUAGCUGUGAGGUUAAUACUUUUCUUAGGCUUUGACCGUUCCUAUUCGUCCCAUCGAUCCCACCCACUUCCGUAUUAAAAUUGAUUGGUAGCCUACGACUCACUAAAUUCCCCAAAUUCCUCGCGGUUGCAACUCAAGGAUGUGCUCGAUUCUACCAUGCAGCAAUAAAAAAUUGGUUGGAACCGUCAAUAUACGCGUCAAAGAUAUCAACCAUCAUGUCAUGAUAAAUCCACAAUGGCCCAGUCUAAAGUUAAACAUGGAGCAAGAAGAUUAGAUCGACUCAUUUUUGAAUGGGAAGCAAUCCAAAAUUAAUCUGGUCUAACCCAACUCAAGAUUAUUGUCAUUAGGAUUGGAAAAUACGAUCUGUUUCGAAUAUGAAUUAGAUUUGGAUCCUUAAAUUCUCAGUCCAAACCUAAAUUGUCGCAAACUGAUUCAAAACUACUAUAUUAUAUAUUUCAAAAUCCUUCUUGAACAUAUCUAUAUAUAUAUAAUAGUCUUUUUAUCAUGAUAUGAAAUAUCGGUAGCUUAUAAUGUUGACUAUAUUUUUUUAAAAAAAAUCUUUUGGCCUCUUCUUUUUUGAUGCACCACGAUAUAAUAAUCGCUCAUAUAUCUCUAGUAGCUAGUCGUCUAGAAAAUGCAUCACGUGAUCCACACAUGAUAAAUUAAAAAUAAUUUUUAUAUUAAAAUAUUGUCGUUACUUAAGAAAAGAGAAAAAGAAAAAGAUGAAGUUGCUGAUUGAAUAUUGAGUCUGUCCUACCAUCUUAACUUCUUCAUUCGUUACUGUAAUACUCUAUCUAUCACAUUGCAUUGUAUUAGAUAAAUUAUCCCCACCAUUAUCAAUAUCACCAUCACCAUCUGUUGGGGAAAAAAUGGAUUGCUCAAGACACAUGGAUAUAUCGUCGGCACGUGAUGGCGAGCACGACAGUGGCAACCCUUAAGGCGCCCGACCAAGAGACGCCCGACCUCAGCGCGCCCGACCACAGAGCUUGCAGCCUUAAUCUCGGUUAAGCUGAGCCCGAUCGACCUCAAGCUCAAAGGAGAUCCAGUCAAAGGACGAAGCAGACCCCUCCACUCCACUGAAAAUCAAGUCCCCCUCCUCCUUAUCCGGGGUCCAAUCUCGCGAUCUCCGCCCCAGCGACUAUCAACGAUUAAAUGCGCACGAUCUCAAUGGACCUCCAGCCAGCCCAAAAUCUCGGACCAUCCACGGCAACUCAUUAAGUCAUACGAUCACGUCCAAUCAUUACGGUAACUCAUUAAUUCACACAGUCACGUCACAGGUAACCCAUACACCCCUCUUAUAAAAAGGAGAGACUUCUUCCUUCUGGGGAGAGAUCUUUUUUUUCGUAACCUCUCUACUGGUUCCACCAAAAAAACCCCUCUGACUUAAGCAUCGGAGGGUCGGCGCCAGAACUCCCGACCAUCGGCUUCUUGCAGGUUCCCCGAAGAAAGCUGUCCACCGCCGCACCCCCUGCCGGAGCUCCUCCUUCUUAGUCCGCGGUUACCCCCGAGUCAAGUUUCCAGCAACACCAUCCAUGUCAAAACUAAUCAAACUGGCAAUCCAAACUUGCCUCCAUCCAACAAAUAAGGAAAUAACCAAGCAGUUGGCGAGCUAGUGUAAUUCUUUCCAGGCCGCCCAUAUGUACCGGGAGACGAAUAGGGCGGCCGACUAGGUGGCCACCUAUGCCGCUCAGCACACCGAGGAGAUCCUUUGGACACGGGAGUUGGAUGCUUCUUCACCCUUGAGCAGUUUUCUUUUUUUUAAUUGUGCUGGUUAUACUCAUGCGAAAUUAAUGUGAGUUGCCGAUGUACCAAAAAAAAAAACGAACAAGCAAAUAAUCAAACAAGAAAAUAUCACCAGUAGCAUCGCAUUGGCCUGUCGCGCUUGCAACAUUGCCACCUCACCCUGCAACAAAGGAUAUGAGCUCAAUCUCAUAGUUCUGGUGCUCCAUAGGGUGCUGACCAUAUCCUCAGCCUGGCAAGCAUGAUAUGAGGACAGUCAUAUAGCCAUCGAGUUGAUCGCAAACCAACUUAGAUUGAUGUCAUUUUGCUAGAAAAUCCAUUUUUCCAUUUAUUGAAUAAGGAUCAAAACCCUACUUCCUUGGUGGCCUCUAAUUUCUUGAUGUUGGAGAGCGAAGGUGGAAGAAGAGACCCUAGCAAGCUAGAAUCGAAAUGAAGAAAAGGAAGAGCAUAGAUUAUGGAAAUAGAGAGAUUAUUUUUACCGUAAUUUUUAUUAAGGGAUAUUUUAGUCUUUGAAUGAAGAGGUUGAUGGACGCCAGUGUCAUAGUACACCAAAAAAUGAAGAUCAGAAAUUAAAUUGUAACUUUUAUAAACAAAGAAGGGUCAUGCGAAAAUGAUAAAAAUUGAGGCGGUCAAAAAGUAUUUUUCAUUGUAACCAUGUGUGAUUAUUAAUUUAAUCCUAUGUAAAAUAUAUUUUCAAUAACGUUUAGAUGUGUUAACUAUUAUCUUAUUGCAUGACAUGUUUCCAAUAUGAUUAGAUACCUGAUAUUAUAUGUUUACUAUAACUAGUGUUUGAAUUAUUUUUGACUCGAUUUGAUCCAAAAAAUCCGAUAGACUGAUAACAUCAAUUAUAGAAUUCAUCCGAUUCGAUCUCUAAGAAAAUCAGAUUAAAUUUGUAAUUUUUUUUAUUCAAUGCGAAUAUGAAGUGAAUUUGGAUUGUGCCUAUCCUCGAUCCAGUCCCGAGAUAGAGACAAAGCAUAUACGAAAAUUGAAAUGGCUGAAAAGGAGAGCCAACUAUAGGCUAAUAAAUGUACCUCUUUUUUUUUUUUUUUGUAGAAAAAAGGGGAAGAGGGGGGAAGGGCAAGCCCACCCCGCAUAGCAGCCCCACACUGGGCCCCCACCCCGCCAGGAGCAUGUUCGAUGCGGGCAGAAUGACCGUUUGGUAUAGGCCCAGCUCACCAGACCCCAGCCAUAUUUUACUCAUACCCUCCCCACCCGUGGCCCCGGCUCAGUUACCCCACUGGGCCCUGGCACGAGUAUCCCGUGUGAGUACGUCACACCUGGCACCACCCAGGCUACCAGCCGACCAGUAGCACUUCCAGACCCCGUGUCCAGGCGCGGGGCAUCCGGUCCCCAGAUUUAAUCGACGCCCGUGCGUUUCGAACCUGGAACCACUUGGUUAGAAGCAAACGCCCCGUUCCAACUGGGCUACCAUCUUGGUGGUAAUGUACCUUCUUCUCGCAAUAGCUUUUUAGACUUGGUUGAUAUGAAUUGCGAGAUGAUGAUAGCUUAGCUGAAAAUGUGACUCAACGUGGAAAAAUUGUAAUAGUUGGGACAAAGAAAAUAGCUUUGUUUUACGAGCAUGGAAGACCCAUAGAUUUUUUUUUUUCUUCUCUCUUAUUUCAGAAGAGGGAUGGGAUUUCAUCGAGAAAAUGAAGGAAAUAUAAAUUAUCCUGGUAGGAGACAGGUAAAAGCAAAAUCUAUGCAUGAAAAGAUUCAAUACGAAAGAAGAGGUGAUUGAACUAAAAGGCAAAACCGUUCCCUAAAAGAACCAAUAUCUCCUAGGACCAGAAAAUAUAGAUAGAUGGCUGAGCCAAUGAGCCAUAAAAAAUGGGAUGCAAAGUAACUACUCUCCAAAUCUUAUUUUAAGUUACUCUUUGAUUAUUGUGUUUUAUGUUUGAAUGUAUAUAUAGUUUUUCCUUAAUAAACUAAAUGUUUGGCUGAAAUUAAGGGAAGGUUUGGUAAGCUGAAAGAAGAAAAUUGAGAAGGAAAUUAAGAAAGACAUGUACUGCCGUCUUCAACGGCAUGCCUAUCCUUUAAAAUAGGAUAUUGAAUUCUAAACAUAUGAUUUCGAGUAUCCUGAUCAUUUGGAGACUUAUUAAUCUCAAACUUUCCAAGUGAGAAGGAUUUUUCCUUGAACCAUUUAGGGCAUGUUCGGCUUCUUGGGAAACAUCUUGGGAAGCUAAAGAAUUUGUAAAAUCCAAAUUUUCUAACCUGUUUAGAUGGUGCCGAGGCUAUAAUAAAAUGGAAAUAAAUUUUCUAGAUAUGGCUAGAUUUGUUUUCUUUUCUAAACAAUUUUUCCUUUCCCAUGGUUUUGUAAACAACCAACAUAUCUUUACUUAUUCUCAAUAAGUUUUCCUUUGAAGGGAUAUUCUACAUAUUUGCAGUAUCACUGUAUAUUUCAUAGGAAACCAUGGAGGACAACAUAUGUUUUACUCCAUGACCUCAUUCAAAAUCAUGAGCGCUUUGGCUGCAUUUGGUUCGCGAUUAGAAUCGGAAUCGAAAUAUAUUGAAAUAAAAAUAGAAUGGCCAUAUUCCCUGAUGCAUUUGGUUUGUGAUUGGAAUCGAAAUUGGAUUGCAAUCAAAAAUUAAUUAAAUAGAGAGGCAUUUUUGAAAAAUUAAUUAAAUGGAGGAAUAUUUUUGAAAAAUUAUUUUUUUAGUAAUAUAGUCGGGAUUGGAUUUUGGAGGAUUAGGACAUUCUCAUUCCAAUGGGAAUAAGAUUGGAGGAUUAGAGGAUAGGGUUGGAGGAUUAGGGCAUACUCAUUCCCUCCUAAAACGAAGUAUUAGAGUCUAGCAUAUCUAACAUAUGGCUUCCAAAAGAAAGCGGACUUCAGUAUGUACACAUGCUAGGAUCAAGUAUAGAUAAAUUCACUAGAUAACUUAUAACAGCAUCCAAACAGCCUUUUAAUUCACUCCAAGGGUAUGUUUGGUUCACGAUUGGAAUUGGAAUAUGAGUGGAUUGAAAUGGAAAUUGGAGUAGCCAUAUUUUCUAAUAUACUUGGUUCUAGAAUUGAAACCAAAAUUGGAAUGACGAUUAGGGCAUUUUUGGAAUAUCAAUUAAAUGAAAAGCUAUUUUUGAAAAAUUAAUUUUUAAAACAAACAUGACGAAUUGAAAUUUGAAUAAUGGCAAGAAAAUAGGAGUUAGAUUUUGGAGGAUUGGAGCAUUUCCAUUCUCCCCUGGAAUGGGAAUGGAAAUAGACCCCCUAGAAUGAGAAUGGAAAUGGAACUUCCUCUAACCAAAUAGCUCGAGUGAGAGCCAUUGAUUUCCAUAUUUUCAUUUUAGAGGCCAACUCUCUCCAACCAAACAUAUUCUAAUUGUAAAUCCACACACAACUCCUAACUCUCUACAGAACCAACGGCUCGUAGAUGGGAAAAUAAAAGGCACUUCAGGUGCAACACCUAAGAGCAACAAGGAUGUUUACUUCGAGUUCUUAAAGAAGUCGAAGGAGUUCGUUUCAUUUUUUAUUUGUAAAUUUAUGAUAUCUACACUCUAAUAUAAGUAAAAAUACUGAAUAAGAUGAUUUAGUUCUAUCUCCACAUAAGACUAACUAAUAAUGAUGAUAAUAUUUUGGACUAUUGAAUCGAGUUUUAAAUUAAAUUCCUUUAUUUGAUCAAAGUUAUCUUAAGCUGGUCCUACAACAAUCAAAUUCAAGUCUCACCUACGAGUUUGGAGUGAACCACAAUCCUGAAUCAUUUAGCUUAGGUCAAAAUAGGUGAAGUCCAUUGCGCAAAUCCUGUUUGAAUGUCCGAGGGCGGCCCAGGUGUGGCGGCUAGUUGGAGUUGAUUGGUAUUUCCUAUAGAUGUUGACCCCUGUCAGAGCUUUCUUUGCUCAUCUGAAGGGUACCUUGCAAUGACCCACAACUUUUGCCUGGAGCAUUAGAACCGUCUAUGUUGCUUACCAUAUUUGGCUGAAUAGGAAUGUUAGAGUUUUGAGGAUAGAAGGUUGAAUCUAAGGAUUGUUGUUGACAAGGCGCUUCUCCAUGCAACCGAGAUCAUUUAGACUCAGAACGUUGUAGAAUUUGGGAUUGCAAGGGAUAUAUGGGUCUUCCAUUUAGCUCUCUCAGCGAUCCAGAUGAUUUUUAUCUCCUAGGAGCCCCCAUCCCUGAGCUUUCUUAAGGUAAACUUAGAUGGUAGUGUGUUUGAUGAUGGAAGAAGAGGCGGUGCUGGUUUUGUGAUUAGGAACCCUAACUCCAAAUUUAUGGUGGCCGGAGGUAGUCGAAUCUACGACACUUCUGUCCAUGGAGUUGAGCUAAGGGACGCUUCAAAACGCAUCACCCAUGCAAGGUUCACCUUGGGGGCAAAUCACAUUCAUCUCGAAGAGGAUUUAGCUACGGUGAUUAAGUGAAUCCAGGGCCAGUCUAGGGGCGACAAACACUUGCUAAUAUAGGAUAUUUGCUGGUUAUUGAGGGAUUGUGUUGCCUCCCGAGUUACCCAUAUAUACUCGGAGGCUAAUAGGGUAACUGAUUGAGUUGCUUCAUGUGAUGACCCGUGUGGGCGUGUAUUUAGUUUCAUAUUGGUUAUUCACUGGAUAAAUUUUGGGUACUUAUAUAGGAUCAAGAAACCUAAAUAAUACAUUUUGGCUAGCCUUUUUGGGUGAGAUGCUAGGUUGUAACAAAUGGUAUCACAACAGACUCAGCCUAUGGCCUAUGUGGAUUAGAGGACACUGCAGCACGAGUAUAUUUGCGUUGACCAUAAGUUGAUCGUAGUGUUUGUGAUUGGAUUUGAAUGGAUUUGGAUUCUUAGCCUAAGGAGGAUGUCAAAGCUUAAAUAGGGGAGUAUGUGAUGACCCAUGCCGGGGUGUGUUUAAUCUCAUAUUUGUUAUUUGUUGGUUCGAUCUUGAGUACUUAUACAGGAUCAGAAAACCUAAAUAAUACCUUUCGGCUAACCUUUUUAGGUGAGGUCAUGAGUUGUGACAUUUCAUAUGUAGCCAGCACUCCGGUGUCUUCAUGUAAACAGUUAUGAGACUUCCCCUCCCCCCCCCCCCCGUAUUCUCUUUUCUGACUUUCUUAGAUGUAUGCAUACUGGAAUUGUAUGAUUUAUCUAGUUUAUCAAAAAAAGAUAAAAGCUCUUGGUUGGUUGUAAUAUUAGAAGCAUGUGAAGUACAGUAAGGUAUUAAUCCACAACAUUAAGAUCCAAACAAGCUUAGGAAAAUGCUCUGAUGAAGAGACUGUGUGCACUAAGUUCAUCAGACAUGCGUCGGGAUGGUUUUUACCAACGCAUAAAAGCGUCGCUAAUGCCCAAUUUUAUUGUAGUGCUAUUGCUGGCUUGGCAAAUUCAAAUAUCCUCCAUGCAUCACACUAUUUCCAGUGAGUGACCUCCAAGUCCCCCUUACCACCUGAGGAUAGGAAUUUUUAACAUGAUCCAUAGUGAUCGACCAGUGAACCCCAUGGUUUCAGCUGAAGAAGACUCCACAUCCACUCCAAAGGCUGCACUUGGGAUCAGCAGGGUCAGGGACAGUGGAACCUUAUCCUAGGGUUCCAACGAGGUCAAAUCCUCACAAGUCAAAUCCACGGAUUUCUAUGGUAUGGAAUUAAGUUGGGUUUACCGUAACAGCCGCCAGUAUUAUCCAUUUCCAUGCAACGAGAACAAAUGGGUCCUUGGAGUAAGUUUGAACAACCAUCACUCACCGCCGGCUUCUCACGACUAGUUUUAGUAAAAGUGUAAAACCCCACAAGCCAGGCCACACGUUUCUUUCAAAUCCCAUGUACCGUUACAAGUUCUCUAUUUCCACUUCGUUAGCAUAUGCUUUACGUUACUACACAUCCUAGAAAUAACAUCAAGUAAAAUAAACCCAACCUUUUAAAACACUUCAAGACUGCAGCCAUUCAUUAAACGAUAGACAUGUCAAAAGACUAGUGUGGCUAAGCAUGUGGAGAGAGACAUCCAUGCUUCGGAAUAUUCGGACUAUGAUGAGUGAUGGUACAGUCUUUCAGGCUAAGCGUGUGCUCGGAAGGGCUAAUAGAACCGCAAACUGGAUAGGGCCAGAAAGUGAAGCUGCCUACAGCACUCCGAGAUUUGUUGUUUUUUGAUUUUUAUUGAGUGUAUCCAUAAACUAUAUAAACCAUCUGUUUUAGAAAGAAAAAAAAAUGACGACUAGUGUGCCUAUGAAGCUCAUACCUCAGCCUCUGAGUCCAUAGAAGCUAUGCUAAAGGUGUGUUCUAGUGGGAGAUCCAUUCAGUUUUCUUUUGGGUUGCCGAAGGUGAUUCAUAUGGUUCAUGCCCUUCUAAUGUUUUGCUAAUGGAAUCAACUGCAAGCAUGUUUUUGAGUUCUAGCACUUUUGCCUUCUAUAGUGUUAAAGAGUUAAAGAUGGAAAAAGAACCCUUCCACUAGGUAUCAACCAUGCAUGUUGCCAGUCUCGGUGCCCAAUGUGCAGCACUAUUUUGAGUCCCUGUCACCAGGAAAAUCCUAGGUAUGCCUUUUUCCUUCAAUAUUGUAAGAUGCUUUGCUCCACCAAUGGUUGAAGUCUGUUUAGGUAGGGAUCUUUUUACCACACACUCAAUUAACCACAUGAGAAGAAGAAGCAACUUCUGUGGUGGGAUGGCCUUACAAGUGAAGCAUGUGUACAGAAAGACCACUAGAGCAGCGAAUUGAGUGGCCUCGUAUGUGGCCAACCACUCCAGGGAUACUCUUUAGAUUGGGGAGAGAGAGUUGUCUGGUGCACUUCGGGACUUGUUAUUUUUUUGACUUUUUUGGCUGUAUCCAUACUCGUGUUGUAUGAUACAUCUGGUUUAGCCAAAAAAAAAAAAAGAAGAAGCGACUAGGAUCGAAGCAUCUUUUCCUUCUCUUUUAGAGAAAGCAGGUCACCUAGUCAGGCAAGUAAUUAGGUUGCAGAAACAUGGGAAGCCUUAAUACUCCUGCCACAAGCCCAUAAAUCCAGUCAUAUCUCAUGGUCACAUCCUCACUAGCUUCUUAUACUUAUUAUUGGUCGAAGUUAUACAUUGAUUCUUAGCUAACCAAGAAAACGAGGGGGGGAAAUUAUUGUAACUCAAGCAAAUUUAUGUAAUAUGUAGAGAUGGAUGACUAUGUUGGCCCAAGAAACUUCUGUAACAAUAGAUGCCUCGAAGCAUUUCCAAAAAAAUUAAGUGAUACUUCGAUUAAAUCAAAUUCAUAAAAUCACAACAAAGUCCAGAUUACAAGCACGAGAAAUUGGAAUACCAAGAGAGUGCCAUUAAUGAAUGCUACGAGUCACUUGAUAAGAAUAAAUGCCCUGAUUAUCUCCAAUGACUUAUCGGCUGUGAAGGGAUUAGACUUCCACAUAUUUGUUUGUGACAACAUUGGCUUCCCCUCAUGCAUGACUAAAAGAAAUCUCUGCCAUUAACACAAUGGCAGAAGAACUGAUGCCGCAUAUAAUCUCAUUAAUGGUGGAGAUGGAGAUUCGUAAGUGAUUUGUUUGUUUUUUUUUUUUUGAAAAUUUCAUAUAAAUAUAUUUGGCACUCAAAACAUCUAAUUAGUUAUAGUUAAAUAACCAACAAAAGCAAAACAUGUCAGUGAUUAAUAAUGAUGGAGUCAUGUUCAUAGAUGCCUUAGGAGCAUAUUCCAGCAUUUGCAAUCAUGGUAUUUGGUAAAUAAUGCAUAAUUUGCAAACAACUUGAGCACCACACGAGAUUGCACCUUGAAUUCAAUUUCCAACAUACUGAUCAAUGGAUCUUGCGCAUGGAUAUUACGACACAAUUCAGAUGGAAAUUUAAGUUGGCAUUCCCAACAUUCAGAACAGUGAAACAUCCCACUACUCUUACCAGUGUUUAAAACCAUAUCAUUAACCAUGUUUUUACUAAAGCUAUAACAAAGAAAGUUUGCUUGUAACAUUCCUUGGGAUCAAUUUUAGCACUGCGAUAGUAACCUGUGGUUUCCCGUAAAGAUUACUAGCAUAAGACCGAGAUCGAGCAGAAUUUUAUCUCUUAAAUUAACCUAUUAGCACAUUAAUAAUUCAUCCGACCAUUGUCAUAUUAUUCGAUGCAGGAGCUAAACAGGUCCUAAGGUAUCAUAAUUAGGUUUUCCUAGCCAGCAAACAGAUACAUGACACCAUCUUCAGGAAAAUAAUUAGCAAUCAGGCAGCACCAUCAAAUAUUCCAGUGCCCAUGCUUAACAAGGCCUUUUAAUUUUAUAAAUUCAGAGUUUGGAUGCAGAGAAACCUGCCUCACGUGUUGAUAGUUCCACGGAGGACUCAAAACCUACCACAAAGUACCAUAACAUUAGGCUCCAUCCAACGUCAAUAUAUAAAACCAAGCAUGCUAUGACAUUUUAAACUAGCACUAGCACUUAGUCUGGUUUUAGACUUUUAGUCCUUGGAAACAAAAAGUUCUACCUGCUGCGUUUGCAAGCAGCAAGCCAUCAGCCCAUGGCAUACUUCUGAGUCCAUGCUCUGGCUGUCUCCUCGUAACGGGAUCUCUGAUUCUUGUAAAUAUGGGCAAUCUCAGGGACAAGAGGGUCGUCUGGGUUCGGGUCAGUGAGAAGAGAGCAGAUGGAAAGGAGAACCUUUGAAAUGGUCAGAGCAGGGCUCCACUGUUCCUUGAGGAUGUCGAGGCAUAUGCUGCCAUUGGAGUUGAUGUUUGGGUGGUAAACCUGCUCAGAUAGAUGAAGGCCCAUCAUCCAUAUUUGUGAAAGCAGUUCAUAUUUCUUCAGAUAACAGGAAGCAGAUUUCAGUGAUCAAUCAGCAUACAUGUUGCUAAUUAUACAAAUAAUACAAAUGGAAGAAUUCUUUGAAGGCACAAAUUUAUUAGCCUGAUGUAGAUAUGUUGUAUCGGUAGGAACAAAAGAUGUAGUGACUGACUUGCAAGUUUUUUUAGUACAAGAGCAUAAUCAUCUAUACGAUUAAGAAAAUAUAAGCCACGACAGCAAAUCAGCAAUUUGAAUGUUCUAAAGUGGAAUGAGGCCAUCAUUUAUACAUUUUGGCAAAAAGAAUUAAUUCCUAAAAUACAUUAUAAUAUUCAAGGGUGGACCAAGAAAAUUCUUGGCUAAAACCUAGUAACAAGGAAAAUCAAGAUCAUCCAUGUCAUACUAGAGUAGUUCAAAGACGAACAAUAUUUAAAAGCAUGCAGAUCUAAUCAGCUCCAUGCUCCCUUGGAAAAUCACCUCAAAGAUAUAAUACUACAUUAAACAUUUAAAGGCCGUCUUCAGAAAAUCCUGUUUUAUGAACUAUUUUUAAUCUAGUAGGAAAAAGGAACUUUGUACAACCCAAACUGAAUGCUCUGUUCUCUCAGACAUGGAAGAGCUCAAAAAAGUAUAUGAAACUCUUGUUACAACAGAGAUCCAAAAUUAGACCCAAGAUGCAAGGCAUGUAGUUCUGUAUAAUAUGCUAGCAGAAGUAAAUACCUAAAAUGUGAAAUAUGAAAAGGGAAGCAUGCCUCUAGAGCAUUAGCAAGGUAAGCCUCCAGCACAUUAUUUACUUUUAUCAUUUUAUUUGGUAACUACCUGUAUGCAGAGCAUAAGAUUCCAAUAAAAACUAUCUUAAAUAAUAAAAUUCAACCACCGCCAACAAGUUCUAAAACUAAAUUAACUUAUUAAGAAAAAAGUCUUUAAUAAUUUUGAAUUUCACUAUUUGAUAUAAUAAAAAUUAGUACCAACGCCACCUCUAUCCCAUGCCAGUAGUUUCCUGAAUCAGAAAGCUAGCAAUAUAGUUUGCACUUCUAUAAUCUACUGAGAUUCCGAGGGAAAGCACAUGUACAAAUAAUAUCUGGAAUCAAGCAUCAUCUUUAGAAACAAAAAAUGUUAUGGAAAAUCAAAAAUGAUAUGAGGUUUUCUUACCUUAGUCUGAAAGUUGACCUUUGGAGGCUUAAAUGGAUAGUCAGGUGGGAAAUGAAUCAUAACAAAGAACACUCCUCCAGCAUAGGGGCUCUCUGCAGGACCCAUGAUUGUUGCUUGCCAGUGGAACAGAUCCUCCCCAGCAGGCCCUGCACUGCAUGAUGUUGGAGGAUCUCUUUGCAGAUCCUGAAGCUCCUUCUGAAUACGUUUGUUAGCCAUAAUGCCUCCUAAUUCAAAUAUAGGGAAUAACAACAAUAAGAAAUAACUUUCGAGGUUAUAACUACAGGGAUAAAACUGCAAACAUACACAGAAUUCCCAGUUCCAGUAUAUGACUCCAAGAACAAUGCUAGCUAGAAUAACACCACUCUCAUACAGAAAAGAUACACAGUGGAGAUGCGACUGUCAUGUCGCUAUUCCUGGCAUCCUGUAAGAUAUUGGGUACUGGUUGCCAGUGAAGGACAAAAUGAAAAGUUGUGCAUCAACCAUGCAAGUUUUCUGUAAGAGAUUUCUGUCUUAAUGAAGCAUUUCCAAUGAUGUCACAGUGAGUAAACACACAUGUUGCACAUCAGAAAUAAACCACAUCCAAAAGAAACCAUGACUGAAGCCAAUGAACAAUGAAUUAGAUCAGACUGUGUCUAAAUAGAAUAUAUAAUCAAUUCAUAACUAAAAGUGAUAAGUGUAUUUUUUUCUUUAAAAGAAAGUGUUGAUAUUAAACAGAAGCUCUGCCAUACAAAUUUUCUACUGAUACUUGGGAGAAGUUCACAAGAUAUACAGCAUAGGCGACCCGUAAUUGUUAACCAGUCUCUAAGGAUGACUGAAUAGUUAACAAUUUCCCUUCACGAUAAAUCUAAAUAAAAGAAUCAAAUAAAUAAAUAAAUACAAUCAUAAAAAGGAGGAAAGGGGGGAAAAUGAAUGAUGGUAGACUGUAGAUUGCCAAAACUUUAUCAAUUUUGAAACAAGGAAACUUCACUAGAUUUACUUAAGGACAGUCAGCCACAUAUGAUGAACACAUCAACUAAACCAUAUAGAAUGUCCUAAGAUAGCAAUAAUUAUUUCACAGACUACAAUCAUUUGUCAUGUCCAGAAUUAACAUGCAUUCUCCCCUUAAUUCAAGUGAGGAAGAGCCUCAGUGCCCCACCAAUAACCAGCCAUAAUAAUUUCGUAUAAAGAAGAAAGACCCCCAGGGUAACCACAUAACUUCCCUGAUCUACCCUAACUUAAAAUAUGGACCAAUAUGCCAAAUCAGUUAUUAUGGCACACUAAAUGGAACCAUUCAAACAAGCAUAAAUCAAUGAUUUUAUACAUAUUAACAACUCCUGAAAGCAGUAAGAUUCACAAAAACUCCACAGGAACUGAAUAUCAGCAAAUUCCCCCAAUUAUUCACUUUGGCUUGCCCUUCUCUGUCCAAUUUAACCUCUGAAAAUUGGUUUUAUAGACGAUUUAAUUAGACUGCCUCAUAAGGGAAGAGCAAGGCACCAACAAGGGUCUUGAAGUUGAAGCAUUAGAAACCUUUACCUAGUUGUCUUCUUCAGCAUAAAGCUAAUAUGGUGGCCUUGUGGAGGUACAUGUAUUGUGCCUUUCAAAAUGCAGACCACCCUACUCAUCAAUCAUUUGAGGUCAGCCCAAUACACAAUGGGUUGCAGAAUUACAAUCAAUGUAAUAACUUGAAGCCAGACCCUAUAAGAAGACAGGCCUAAAUCACGGACCUGAAUGAACUUCUAAAUGUUGCUAUCUAAUGCUGUUAAGAAAUCAGCCCUGAUGAUAUAUAUGGGAUGCAUAUAGUAAAAUAUGGGUGAUCAAAAAAUUUAAUGCAAAGGAAAUAACUAAACUAAUAUGUUCAUGCUGCUGAACUGCUGAGAUCAGAUAUUCUGGUGGUAAAAAAAUAAAAACUCUAACCAUAAAAUAUUCAAAGAUAAGCCCAAGAUAAAGACUACACCACAGUAAACAGAGGCCAUAGCGGUGUAACCCUGAUGGAUGUUAGAAAUGAAGUUUGAUCUGAUUCAUGUGCAAUCUUAGAGCUCUUCUCUCAGCUGCUAGCUUGAAACAUGCUCAGAUCAUUGUCAGAUCUGAUAAACACCAAUAAUAAUGCUGUUGUUUGUCAGCAAGAAAGUAACAAAAUUAAUGAAAGAGGAAGAGAAAGAGACAAAGAUACCAUAAGAAAAAGGAGAACAAUCUAAGAAAUCAGAAGAACAAGAGGAAGUUUACUACUUUAGUUAGGACUAGAACCUAAACAAGCAGGCCAAUAGAGCCUGAUAAUAGGCUUGAGGCCCUGUUUGGAAUUGCUAUUGGAAGUAGAACUUCAAGCAGUAGAAUUUUUAACAAAAAGUUGUUCGUUGUUUAAUAACUACAUUUCUAGAGUGUAGUGAAACUUAUACAUCUGUUUGGUAACUAAAUUGAAAAUGUACUUUUAGUAUGACGAAAUUAACAAUAAAGGGGACUACAUAGUAUUUUAUAUUAUAGUAUAAUAUAAAUAUAAUAUAGUAAUAUAUUAUUACAUAGUAUAAUAUUAUUAUAAUGUAAUAUAUUAUUAUAAUGUAAUAUAUUAUUAUAAUAUUAUGUAAUAUAAUAUUAUAAUAAUAUUAUGUGAUUAUAAUAUAAUAUAAUGUAAUGUAAUUAUGUGAUUUGUUCAGUGAUUUGUUUAUGGGCAUUUUGUUCCCUACAAAAUUUUAAUUAAAUGAAAAAUAACUUCCCAACAUCAGCCAAGUAGAGCUAUUGGAGAACCAAAAGGCACUUCUCUCUCUCUCUCNNNNNNNNNNNNNNNNNNNNCUCUCUCUCUCUCUCUCUCUCUCUCUCUCUCUCUCUCUCUCUCUCUCUUAACAAACACCACCUAUUCCCUGAAAGUACUUUCUACCUUCCAAAAAACACUUUCCAGCCCUCAAAAGAUGUUCCCAAUCAGGGCCAAAGUGAUUAUAACUUCUAACCUACUAACACCAUCUAAUGAGGAAAUAGCAUAAGACCAAGCAACACCUAAAACCCUGGCCAUAUUUUUGAAUAGUAAAGGCCAGACAUAACACCCCCUUUUAAUGGCCUUCUGCUGCUCCUAACUGCACCACCUAGCCAAGACCUCUCUGAUGCACUAGUAAUUUUAGCACCUCUUCACUAAUCUGCAGAUCCUCUCAAGUCAUGAGUUAGGCUUAGGGUUUUGAUAGUCAAGUAAUGGUUUAAGUUUUAUGUAGGCAAACAGAUGGAUCCCAAGCUCAUCUACCAGGUCAUAUUAGGAGAUUCUGAAGGUCUUGAUAAGCAUUAGGGUUUUCUAGGCAGAAGUUAAUGAGGGUUUCAAGCUUGAAAAACAAAUGAUGAUGGGUUUGGAAUCAAACAACAGCUGUACUGACAUGGAAAACAAACCACCUGCUGAUAACAGAUCCAUACUUAGCUGCAAUGGAUGGAGUGAUGUGAGCAACAGACCAGCUUGCUGAUCGAAGAUCUGUACUUAGUUGUAGACUAGUCACGAUUAGUAAGCUGAGGACUCUAUAAAGAGCUGAGUAUUGAGAUAGACAUGUUUAUAGACAAUUAAGAGAUUGAUUUGAGCAUCAGAAAGGCCCUAUAGGGGCUGCUUGAAGAGCAGAUCAAGCCAGUAUAAUCAAAUCUGAGCUAAGUUGGACCAGAAACCCUUAUUCAGACUGGUGGCUGCUUCCGAUAGUUGAGGCUAUAUACAUGUAGAACUUAAAGCAGAUUUACGCCGGUUGGGUGCAGAAAAGAGAAAAAGAAUAGAAAAUAUUCUAAGAAGGGGAGGAAGAAAGAAGACUUGCUCCAGACUCCCCAUCUUCAUAAAGCCCCUAAGUUGGUUCAAACUUGAAAUUAAUUUCCAAGGAAUCAAAACAUUAAAGAAAGUAAUAUGUAGCCUCUUCAUAACAAAUACAAAGGUCAACUCAUCCCAACAACUUUGUCAAUAUUCAUCCAACAUCUUUAAUAUGUCCCGAAAUCAUGGCAGACUCCAUGAGGACUACUACAGCUAAUUGAUAUGACCUGAAUAUGUGGUGGACUCUACAAGUCCUACUGCAGCAUAUUGACAUGCCCUAUCUCCCUUGGCAACCAUGACAUUCAAUAUGAACCUGCUAGCAUGGUCACUUUAUAGUCCAAUUUCAUGAUAUAGUCACCUGCAAUAAGACCUGUAUUACACCUACUAUUAACGACAAAAUGCAAUUUCCCCAGUUGCUUGGAACGGAAGAUCUAGUCAUCGAGCCUCUGUUGGUUUUGAUUCAACUGACACUGACAUAUUUUAAGCCAUCAAUCGACAUCCAUUUUCUACAUGCUAAGCCUGCUGCCCUUUACUUCAUUAUCAUCCCACCCAUCUUUCUUCAAAAUUCUGAAGAACUAGAAGUUCUUAGCACAGAUAAAAGCACAGAAUCCCAAUACGCUAUUAAGGACACCCACUUAUAACCAAAAGCUGAUCAUGCUUGAGUAAAUCUUUUCAAUUCCAUCACAACAAUAAUUACAAAGAAGGAACAGGCAAAAGAAUCCCAAAUCGCUAUACCCAGUACUCAUAAUAAUAUAUCACCAAAAUACAUAUAUAUUUGCAUCAAAAAUAGCCGAAUCUAACUUAGUCACGAAAUACAUAUAGAUUUAAGCAGAAAAAAAGUCUGAAUAAUAUAUAACACGAAGAGUUGGACAUCUGGAAUCAAAAGCCGACCCGAAUCACAAAAUCGACCGCUUAAAUCGAAGAUCGAAGG
Molecule: long non-coding RNA, 88415 nt
Filed under: Phoenix dactylifera (date palm)
Lineage: Eukaryota; Viridiplantae; Streptophyta; Magnoliopsida; Arecales; Arecaceae
Description: long non-coding RNA (PDAC_LNC004630)
Source: RNAcentral